UUUGUUUUUUGUACGGUUGGAAACAUAUUGGGGCAGCCCACUCUUCUACACACGACUACACGAAUACUUUUUUUUUUCUAUUUUAGUGUAUCUAUUUAUCAUUUUUAUUUUAUUCAACAUUUUACAUGUAUUUUUACUUUUAUUUUUUAAAAUAAAUAUGUAACAUCCCAAAAAUUGUAGAAGAGACACUUUUGGCACGCAUGAAAGAUCUUUACUCUCACUUGCUGAUGUCUUUUUCUACAUGGAUCUUUUAUUUGUUUAUUUGUAUGUUUCCUAUUUCUGUUUAUCAUUUUUCUUACUUUGUUUCAUUCAUGUAUUACCCCAAAAAACAUUUUCCAAAUGUUUAUAUGCCCUUUUUUCUAUGUCAGAUUGAUAAAAAGGAGUUGCUUUUUAUUUUUAUUUUUCACUAAAAAAUCGCUUGUUUCUUACGCACAAGUGCAAUUAUCAAAACCCACAAGUAACUACAAGGGGUGCAACACCGUACGCAACUGCAUGCAUCUAAAAUCACAUGCAACUGUAAUGGGUACAACACGUCCACAACGAUGAGGAGCUGGGUGUGGCGAUGAGAUCGGAACAUGCAUGAUAUGGGUAAUUUUAUGAUUUUAAUUUUAAUUUUAGUUUUCUAUUCUCAUUUUCCAUCCACAUGGAAGUCGAGGUCCAAUGGAAUAUUCAUUUUUGGUUGUUUGUUCCUACAAUUUUGCCAGUGAGGUGUAUUUUUCAUUCCCCUUUUAUAUUAUUCUUUCCAAACUUUUUUUGUAAACGACAUGAUUCUUGCUAUCCUUUUUGUUUUAAUUUUUUUAUUAAACAAAUUUUAUUUUCUAAAAUUUGAAAAUAUCUUCUUUUGGUUGCACAAUUGGAUCCGACUAGUAGUUGCAUGUCUAUCACUGGGCACGCAACUGCAAACAUCACCCUCAAGUACAACUGCAUAUUUUGAACGCAACUGCAACUCAACUAUGUGAUGUUUGAUCAGGAGAAGGGGUAGUUGCAUGUCUGACACUAGGCACGCAACUACAAGUGCAUGUCCUCAAUGCGAGUGCAGCUAAUUUUGUGGUGUUUUGUCGGGGAUGAGUAGUUGCAUGUCUAUCACUAUCAUCAUCAGACGACAAAGCAAAGUAAGUUAAAGGGUAUUGGCACAAUUAUUGUUGCGCAUUCCAUGUUUUACCUUAGGUAUCACCGUGACUUCCACCGCAGGAAGGGUUGACACUACGAGAGGCUCGACAUAGGUGAAAGCAUGACCUCUUUGAGAUGCAAAAUAGGUGUAAAAGCAUAGGCCCGUCAUCAUAGCCAGUGGCAGAGAUAGACAACAUCUACUGCGGGGCGAAACGUAAAAUACAAUUGUUUGGGGGGGCAAAAGCUUAAAAAGUUCUCAUCUAACCCUCACAAUAUUUUCUUCUUCUUCACAACUUGGUUCAAUGUUGGGGGGCCAUAGCCCCCCCAGGAGCCUACAUAGCUCUGCCACUGAUCACAGCAGAAAGUUCCACCGAUGAUACAAGUAAAGUAUCACCUUCAUUCAAAGAUCAACGUAAAACCAUUAAACCCAGAAGGAUUGGUUUAUUAAUAACAAGCUGAACAAGAUAUUACCGAACAUGGUAUCGUGGAAUAGGGCGAGCAAAUCCUGAACAAUAAUCUGACAAAUCUUGAUGCGUUUGUGUUGGCGAAAACGCAUUAGGAGGAUGUAAACUGCAACGAACACUCAUUAUGUGUGAUUGGUCUUCGAAUCAGGGGCAAACAUAUUAAGGUUUGUUGUCUUACCAGUUACGGAAGACACUCCAGCGAUGCUUCCCUCCGGAGAAUACACGUAGGAUGCGCCAGAAAGUUCCCCACUACAUCCACCUUUCUCGCGAGAGGCACAUGACGCCAUUGCCUGCAAAAAUAGCCCCCAAGAUCUAGUAGGUCUUGAACAAGAACCCCCAGCCCUUCACCACGCUCGUUGGAUAUGGUAUAUGCCCCUGAUCGCGUAGUUCUUCCGUGUCAUUGGAGAUCACCGCCGGGUGGGGCUGUGGGUUAAUGGUUAGAUCGUACGGAUCGCAAAGGUUCAGAAACCAUAUCUCCUACUACAAGAUGGUGUAGGUGUUGCCGACCACAUACCUUUGGGGGGCUGAUGGCCUCUUCCUCGAUCUCGCUUCCGGUCGUUUUGGUAUGCUCCAUGCCGACUUCAUUCUUCUUGUUGUUGGCAUGUUCUUCCUUGUCAUUGCGGAUGAAUGCUCCUUGCGCCCCCGGCCGGGGCUGUCAUGGAAAUAUGUACUACCUCUGUCCUGGUUUAUUAGUCCCACCUGCAUAUAUUGAUCCCACAUGGACAAACCAGGCGACCUAGCCAACAUGUUGUUUGGGAAAGGAAAAGGAAGAUAAUCUUUUAUCUCUACUACUAUUAAAAAAGCAAACUUAGUUCCCCCCUAUGGCCACAUCACAAAGUGUACACGGAAUAACCAGACACGUCGGAUCAAAUCAACUUAAUCAGAUCCAAGUGUCCAUAUUACAUCAAUGGUAUGUCAAUCCAAUCAAGGAUUCAGAUCAAAUGUUCUGCUCGUAGACUGCCUCCAGACGUACUCCCUUCGUUUCUUUUUAGUUUGCAUAUAAGAUUUGGUCAAAGUCAAACUUUGUAAAAUUUGAGUAGCUUUAUAGAAAAAGAUAUCAACAUCCACACAAUAAAAUCAAUAAUAUUAGAUGCAUGACGAAAUUAAUUUUCAUAACAUAUAACUUUAGUAUUGGAGAUGCUAAUAUGGGCAGGGGGGAGGUGAUGAACGUUUGAUUGACUCCUAAUUUAAAGCGGCAAUCUAGGAAGGAAAUUAUGGCCGAUGUUAGUCAGCGGCCCUACAUGGCUGAAUAACUCCUACUCAUUAAAGUUCAACGCAAAAAAAAACGACUCCUAAUUAAAGCGACAUUGGGACCCUUGAUUUCAUGGCACACUCAUUCUAUGACGCUGCAUGUCAUUCCUAAGGUCACUUCCAAUGCAUUGGUGCUUAGAUAAGGUGCUAAGCAUAUUAAAAAAAAUAGCAACUAAGGUCCAUAAUACAUAGGUGCUUCACUUGUUGGUGCUAAGCUCCCCUUAUUUAAUGCUUUAGUAGCUAAACUAUUUCAUGCAUUGGUGGAUUUUUUUUUCAUUUAAUUGCUUUUGCCUAGAUUCACGUGCUUAGCAUUGGUUCUUCAUGGGCUCACUGAUACGUCUCCAACGUAUCUAUAAUAUUUGAUUGUUCCAUGCUAUUAUAUUAUCUGUUUUGGAUGUUUAAUGGGCUUUAUUAUACAUUUUUAUAUUAUUUUUGGGACUAACCUACUAACCGGAGGCCUAGUCCAAAUUGCUGUUUUUUUUGCCUAUUUCAGUGUUUCGCAUAAAAGGAAUAUCAAACGGAAUCCAAACGGAAUGAAACCUUCGGGAGAGUUAUUUUUGGAACAAACGCAAUCCAGGGGACUUGGAGUGGACGUCAAGAAAUAAGCAAGGAGGCCACGAGGCAGGGAGGCGCGCCUGCCCCAUGGGCGCGCCCCCACCCUCGUGGGCCCCUCGCACUCCACCGACCUACUUCUUCCUCCUUUAUAAACCCAUGUACCCCGAAAACAUCCGAGAGCACCACGAAACCCUAUUUCCACCGCCGCAACCUUCUGUACCCGUGAGAUCCCAUCUUGGGGCCUUUUCCGACGCUCCGCCGGAGGGGGAAUUGAUCACGGAGGGCUUCUACAUCAACACCAUAGCCUCUCUGAUGAUGUGUGAGUAGUUUACCUCAGACCUUCGGGUCCAUAGUUAUUAGCUAGAUGGCUUCUUCUCUCUCUUUGGAUCUCAAUACAAAGUUCUCCUCGAUCUUCUUGGAGAUCUAUUUGAUGUAACUCUUUUUGCGGUGUGUUUGUCGAGAUCCGAUGAAUUGUGGGUUUAUGAUCAAGAUUAUCUAUGAACAAUAUUUGAAUCUCCUCUGAAUUCUUUUAUGUAUGAUUUGUUAUCUUUGCAAGUCUCUUCGAAUUAUCAGUUUGGUUUGGCCUACUAGAUUGAUCUUUCUUGCAAUGGGAGAAGUGCUUAGCUUUGGUUUCAAUCUUGCGGUGUUCGAUCCUAGUGACAGAAGGGGAACCGAUACGUAUUGUAUUAUUGCCAUCGAGGAUAAAAAGAUGGGGUUUAUAUCAUAUUGCUUGAGUUUAUCCCUCUACAUCAUGUCAUCUUGCCUAAUGCGUUACUCUGUUCUUAUGAACUUAAUACUCUAGAUGCAUGCUGAAUAGCGGUCGAUGUGUGGAGUAAUAGUAGUAGAUGCAGAAUCGGUCUACUUGUUGCGGACGUGAUACCUAUAUACAUGAUCAUGCCUAGAUAUUCUCAUAACUAUGCACUUUUCUAUCAAUUACUCGACAGUAAUUUGUUCACCCACCGUAAUACUUAUGCUAUCUUGAGAGAAGCACUAGUGAAAUCUAUGGCCCCCGGGUCUAUUUUCCAUCAUAUAAGUUUCCGAUCUAUUUUAUUUUGCAAUCUUUACUUUUCAAUCUAUACAACAAAAAUACUAAAAAUAUUUAUCUUAUUAUCUCUUUCAGAUCUCACUUUUGCAAGUGGCCGUGAAGGGAUUGACAACCCCUUUAUCGCGUUGGUUGCAAGGUUUUUAUUUGUUUGUGUAGGUACGAGGGACUUGCGUGUGGCCUCCUACUGGAUUGAUACCUUGGUUCUCAAAAACUGAGGAAAAUACUUACGCUACUUUGCUGCAUCACCCUUUCCUCUUCAAGGAAAAACCAACGCUGUGCUCAAGAGGUAGCACUCACCAAACUCACCUCUCUCCUCUUUAUUACCUUGCCACAUCAGAUUUUUUGCCUACAUGACAGCCUUAGACUAGCCACAGUGGGAGUAACUUCAGCAGUAACAUCGAGUCCAACUCAGCAAAUUUGCUUAUGUGGCAAUGAGUUAAUGAAGAGAGAGGUAGUUUGAGUAACUUAGCUAGUUACUGUAACAUCACAUGUCUCAAUGCAAUAUGAGUCUAUGACCUAAUAAAUGAAACUUUGCAUGACACGACAUGUAUGUUACUACCCACUAUGAAGGUAGUAACAUAGUCUAGGGAUAAGUGUAUGUUACUAGUGUAUGCUACUCUCCAUUGUGGCUACUCAUAGCACAUGUACAAGGUGGAGCAUUGGGGAGGGCCUAAGGCUGAUCGUAAUGGGAGUAUCAGGCUGGUCAUAGUGGCUAGUAUCAUACACUAGUAUCAUGCAUAUGAUACUAGUGUAUGAUACUACAUCUAUAGUGCAUAGUAUCAUAGAUUAGUAUCAUAUGUGGUCUUAUUUAUUGCCAUGCAAGACAUAUAGUAGCGUAACAUUAAUAACAUUAAUUAUGAUACGGUAUCUACCUAUGUUACUAUAACGCUCUCUCUCUUCUUUCAUUGUUUGCCACAUAAGCAUGUUUGCGAGUUCCAAGUGCAUGAUACCACUUAUGUUACCCCCACUAUGGCCAGCCUCAUAGCUAGUAUCAUGCAUGCCAACUAGGCAACUUUGAUGAGGUGUCAUAGAAUUAAAUGAAGAAAGCGAGGGUUGAGUAUCAUAUCAUGAUACCGUCUCAUAAUAAAUGCUAUGCUGCUAUGUGUCAUGCAUGGCAAUAAAUAAAGUACUACAUGAUAUACUAAUACACGAUAAUACUAUGAAUUAAGGAGGUAGUAUUAUACACUAGUAUCAUACUAGUAUAUUAUACUUCUCAUUACAACCAGCCUAAUAGGAUAAAAAAUGCUACGUGCAAACGAUGAUUGACGAUCUUUAAAAGAAGCCGGGCAUGCAAAUCAGCGAGAGGAGAAAGAUACACAUUAAUCAUUGAGGAUGUUACUUUAUUUUAUUUUAUUUUCAAGCUUGACAAUUUAUGUUAUUAAUCUAAUUUUUAACAGACAAUCAGGCACGCUAAUUGGACAGUUUUGAAGUGAGGGAAUUAAAGAAAUUUUGAAAGUGGCACAAUUUUCCCUCCAUUCUUCAUUUUAAAUAUUUUUUGUUCAUUUACUGAAACUCUGGUACACAUGGCAACAACAACAUUAUUUUACAUUUUUUAGGGGACAUUGUUUUUACACUAACACUACAAAGCAAAGUAACCUUAUCUUAUUUGUGAUUUUUUUAAAUACCUGCUACUCGAGGAAAGAACAAUAGGGAAAAAAAAGUAAUGCACUAGAUGUUUUUUGAAUUAUUAUUCCCUUCUUCUAUCCAUAUUCAAUUUGUCACAGUUGGAUAGAAGAAGUGGCGCGUGGAGCAUGUUUGUGAAAUGAGCAAGAUCUCAUAAUUCUCAUUAAAUUUGAAUCCACAUCAAUGCUUCCCCGUUGCAACGCACGGCCAUCUGUGCUAAUCAUACCGUAGAUAACAAUCAUACUUUCCCUUGUAUUUCCAAAAGCAAAAUUAAACUUUCCCCGAGAAGAAUGAUUUUUUUUUGUUUGGAAGCACGGGUGGAGGACGCUAGUUUACCCAAAGCCCUCGACGGUGAACUCGAGUGAUCCGACGGCCGUCAACGACCCGGUGACAUGUCCCGGUGCGCCCACCGCCGCAUAGUUAGCAGCAAUUAAAGCCGACCCCAAGGAAAAAGCUUCCGAUACUUCUUCUGUAAAAGAAAAGAAAAAAAAGCUUCCAAGCCAUGGCGAGUUCUCGCCUCGCUCUGGGCGUUCUACUACUGCUCGUCGGUGGGUAAUUUGUGCGUACGAAUUGAAUCGUAUUUUCCUUUUCAAUUCAACGGAGAGUUGGUUCGGGUGCUUAAUUUGGUUCUUGCAGUGGCGACAUCGGGUGCGGCGGCGUUCCGGACGGGCAACACGACGGCCAUCCACAUCGGCAACACCAAGGCCUGCAUCGCCGGCUACGGGGGGCUUGAGGAUCUGGGCAUGUCGUACAAGCUCUGCAUCCCCUCCUGGGUCGCCUUCACCCCCAACGGCACCCUCUUCGGCGAGGCCGCCUUGAACCACGCCGCCGUCAGCCCCGGGACGGCCGUCUCCGGCUUCAAGCGGGUCCUCGGUUCCAAGUACCAACAUUCUCUCUUGUUUUCUUCCCUCCUCCGCCUAAGUCGAUGGUAUUUUUUUAAGAACGAAGGCUCGAGAAAAAGCCCGAUUUUGAAUUAACAAAGCCAUCAACCGGCCAGAAAUUACAUCGGACAGCAUCUUACAAGAGGAAAAAAAACCGUCAACGGUAUUAAUUCAAGUGUUAUAUAUCUGGUUCUGGUUGCAGGAUGUUUGAGGACGUGGUGAAGGCAGAGAUGGAGCUGGUGCCGUACAAGCUCGUCGGGACCCAGGCCGGAAGGUGUGCUAUCCAGAUCGAGACCGAGGAAGGCGGCGCCGAGGUUUUCUCCGCCCACACAGUCGCCGGCAUUCUCAUAUCCAAGCUUAAGCGGAUGGCGGAGGCGCACCUGGGCCGCAAGAUCAGGAGCGCUCUCCUGACCGUCCCCUGGCACUGGAGGGACUACCAAAGGCACCUUCUCGCAACGGCCGCCCGGCUCGAGGGCGGCUUCUCCGCCGCGAGGUACGUCGACGAGCACGUCGCGGUGGCCGCGGCGCUCGGCCAUCACGAGAAGGCGCGCCAAGGCAAGGUCAUCCUCGUCUUCCACAUGGGCGGCCGCACGACCCACGCCACCAUGUUUAAGUUUCGGGACGGCACGACUCGUCUCAUUGAAGGGCGCCAUGAUGCCCAACUGGGCGGCGACGACUUCACCUGCCGACUCGUGGACCACUUCGUCCAGCUUAUCAGGGAGAAGCACCACCGGGACCUCCGCCAGGACGAUGGCGCGCUCCGGGAGCUGAGGGCGGCGUGCGAGAGGGCCAAGAAGGCGCUGACCUACUGGGACACCACGCUUGUGAAGGUGGAGUCGCUCUUGGACGGGGCGGAUUUCUUCGAGCCGCUCACGAGGGCCGAGUUCGAGGAGCUCAACCGUGAUCUGCUGGCGAGAGCCACUAGCAUGGUGGACCUGCUGGCGUCGUGGCGGUGGUGGCUCCCUCCCGGCCGGUGGGACAACAUCGAUGAGAUCAUCCUCGUCGGCGGCAGCGUGAGGAUCCCCAAGAUUAUUGAGUUUUUCAGGGACUAUUUCCAUGGCCGGGAGCCAAUUGUGGAGGAGGAAGCGGCGAUUCGCGGCGCUGCUCUGCUCUCCCGCCCUGAGUCUGCAAUGUUCACAUACGACAACUGCGAUUGCCAUGGAAAUCCUUUGCAGGCGUCUGAAAAUAUAAUUGAAUAGAUCAUAGGGUUUUGAGUCUUGUGGUGCUACAAAUAAAAUUGCACGUGCUACUUUGUAGUCAUCACCUUUUUUUGGAUGAGACAAUCUAGGACAUGGAGUUUCUGGACGUGGGUGCAUUCGCGUGACUGAACAGUAGAAAAAGAACAACUUUAAAAAAAUUAUAUAUCUUUUUCAGGACAAACAUUGUUGAAUGUUUUACCAACAUGCAAAAUUUCGUAAUGAAAAAGAAAUUGUGUAGGUAUGGAGAAGAAAACAAAAUUGAUGUUGUGAAAAGGGUAAUUCUUGAAAGUAUUUUUUUUGUCUAGACCUCCAUGAAUAUUUUUUCGUCAUGAAAUUUUCUAGGACACGUCUAGCAAGCUGUCCGCUGCUCCGUAGCGCUCCUCCCGAUUAGGAAGUUCCCUAUCACCUCCCCCCUCUCCAGGAUAGGAAAGUGUCCCAGUCCACCCUUGAUCCCCCCAUUCCUGCGUCUAGCCAUCGAGCCGAGAAAAAACACACCUGGUCCCCUCCCCCUCCCCCCCCCACUGGCUUCCUCCCCGCCCGCCCCCCUGUGUUUCUCCUCACCGUCUCCUUCCUUCUCCUCACCUAACCCACGUCCCAUCUUCUUCUCCCCCAAGCAAGAAAGGACAAUACGCCCUUUUCUCCCAGCUUCUCUUAUAUCCAGAAACCUUGGGAUCCCUGCAAUGGCAGUUGGAUUAGGGUUUCUGAUCUUAGCAGUCCUAUUUACAGAGAAAAAUAGAGAGGGGAACUGUCGUGGUUUUAUCACGGCAGAUGUCCUAGAGAAAGGACUUAGUCGUGGAGCCAUCGCUACGGGUUAACUUAAAGGGGUUAAAGCGGACAAGGGACGCAAGAGAGUUUUAUACUAGUUCGGCCCCUUACGAUGAAGGUAAAAGCCUACGCCUAGUUGUGAUGGAAUUGCUGGGGUUUCGAUGACCAGGGAGCGAAUAUGCUUUUCCUGAGUCUCGUGUUGUUGUCUGUUGUCCUUGAACCGCCGCCGGGUCGUCCCCUUAUAUACAUGGGUUGACGCCCGUCGGUUUACAGAAUCCCGAGGCCGGCUCAUAAUCGUGUCCGGCUCGGUCUCUGCUACUUCUAUCUUACAACACAAGUCUACAUAUCAACGUCGGUUUAUGUCUAUGGGCCUUAAACCGGCUUUGGGCCCUGGGCCUCCAUAAAGCGUCACCGUCUGUCUUCAUGGACUUCAGAUACAGAGGAACUACUUAUGGGGUUGACCCGGCCUCUCCUGGCCGGUUUACGCCCAGUAGUAAUAUCCCCAACAUUAGGCCCCAGAUUGAUUUGAACUGGUUCAUGUCAAUCCUCAAUACUUAAGAAAUUUUCUUCUUCAACAUCUUCACAUGAUUUUGUAAACCGCCUUGACAUCAUCUUCUAGGAUCAUGGUAAACCGCCGUGACGUCACCUGUUAUUUAAAACUGUGUAUAAUCCACCCUCAUUAAUGAGCCUCCGACAAUCGAGGCGACAGCUCCGCCUCAUAUCCAAAAUUUAAGCUCCUCGAUUUUCGCGCCUGACGCUUAACUUUCUGCCCUUAUAAAUAGGGCCAGGGGGUCUUUCCAUUUUCCCUUUCAUGCCUCUUCGCGUCGUCGUCUUCCUCGCGCCGACCGACCCUCAAGCUCUGCCGCCGCCGUCGUCCUUCGCCUCUGCUUCGACAAAGGCCGCUGCAUCAACCUGAUCGUAUCAGAGAAAAGCGGUGAUCCUCCGCUGCUUCCUUCUGCACCAGUAAGUCCCUCUUUUUCUUGCCCUAGAUCCGCCAUUAGGGUUCGGUGUUCUUCAUGGCUUGAAGCUGUUCUUCCUUCGGUAGCACCAAUGGCCGGUUAGAUCUGACUAUUUUCAGCGCCAUUUGUAGUUUAGACUCCUUUCUUCUUGUUAAGGCACCUGCUUGACAUCCAACUCAUCUGAACUCACUGAACUUUUUGAGCGCUUGAUAUUAUACCAGAGUAUUUUGAUUAUCCAACGCACGGCAUAUCUGAAAUUCUCAUGCCAAACUAUGAAACUUGUUUUUCCCUUCACUUAUACAUCUUUAAUACCAGAUUGGGCGGUUUAACUUCACAGAAAAAAUGAUGACCCGGUAGAUACCAUUAGUCCCCUGUUGAACCGCCAAUGCAUUACACCAUUUCCAUUGUCAGACUCCCGUUUACGAAUAACCAAAUCCGGUUUAUCAAUAUGCUUGUAUCCUUAUACCGCUAUAUAGUUGUCCACUGUAAAUCUUAAACCGGCAAUAAUCAUGUUUCAGAUUUCCAUUGUCAUGGCGAAGCAAGUCUAUGAAUGCAAUUGGGCUCCCUCUCGAGUAACUGAAGAGCAGUUAAACAAUCUUGUUAAAAUGGGCGCUUUAGCCAAGAAAGAUGUCAUCCACUGGAGGGUCCCUGGUCCGGAAAAUCCUCCUACACCCAAGGACGGAGAGGUAGUCGUGUUUGCUGACCAUCUGAGUCGAGGUUUUAGCCCUCCCGGUUUGAAAUUUUUCCGAGAUGUACUAGCCAAUUUUCAGCUGCGCCCUCAAGACAUCGGUCCCAAUUCUGUGACCAACAUCAGCCACUUCCAAGUCUUCUGUGAGGUUUAUCUGCAGGAGGAACCUACAGUCGAACUGUUUAGGGAUUUCUUUAACUUAAACCGUCGCACAGAGUUCUCGGAUGGACCCAAUACGGAACUGGGCGGAAUGGCGGUUCAGAAAAGGAAAGAAGUCACCUUCCCUCAUCCCAAACUCCACAGUCACCCCAAAGAGUGGAACCAUUGGUUUUAUUGCAUGGAUACAUCUCCACCUGAUGAAAACCCCCUGCCGGGUUACCACCUUGAACGCCCGAGCAACACACAUCCUUUUCCUCAGAGGUUGACUGCAAGAGAAAGGGCCAACUAUGCUCCUCAAUUAUCAAAGAUUAGAGCCUUCAUGGCAAACGGUUUGACAGGAGUUGAUCUUGCUCGCUGUUGGAUAAGCUGGAGUAUUCUGUCCUUAAGCCGGCGCUCCGGUUUGAUGUGUGAGUAUACGGGGAGUUUGAAGGAUGCUCAGCGGCACAUUGACAUUCAGCUUACAGAUGCAGAAGUCACUGAGGCUGUAAAAAAGAUACUGAACGAACCAGAGGCUGUCUGUGCCCAAACCGGACUACUCCCUUUCUGCACCUUCAACAAACCACCAGCUGUAAGAAUCAUAUAAUAUUUUUAUCUGAAGUUGCUUCUGUCCAAAUAUUCUGUGAAAGUGUGAUUAUUUUCUGACAGGGUGAUGAUCCGUUCUGGAACAAGAAACCAUCACAAGACAAACCGGCGAAGCUGCAAGACAAACCGGCCAAGCCAGUUCGUCCAAAAACCAAGGUUGUUAAAAAACCUGCCAAGAGAAGGACCACUGCAUCCUCCGAUCUACCAGCUGAUGAUGAUGUGGGUAAUCCGGAACCAGAGGUAGAACUUGACUCUCUUGGUUCAUUUUUCGUACACCUCAUUGACAAUGAUUAUUAUCAGGACGACGCUGAAGGCAGUCAUGCUGAUGAUGUAGAGGUAAUCAUUCUUUCCUCCGAUUCAGAUCCUCUGCCGACAUCAAAAAUCCGUCGAGCAAACUGGAAAGUAAAAUUUUCUCACCCCCUUGCUUACUUGGACCCAAACUUUCUUUUGAAGACACAGCAGCACAAGGCUCGCCGCACAACCCGGCACAGCGGCCAGGUAGUUACCUCCGCCGGUUUACCGAACAGUCCGGUUCGGAAACGCCGAUCAGAGGUCUCUUAUCCCAUUGAUACUUCAUGCCCCAAAGCAGGUUGUUUUCGCCAGCCUCUUAACCCGUCAAUUAUCAGGGUACUUCUCACUCAUCUUCUGGCGAGUCGUCGGCCACAAAACUUCCACCCCUCAAAACGGUUCUUGGGUGAGCUAUACACUUGUUGUUAUCCUUGAUGUUGCUAUUUUGAUAUACUGUACUGAUCCUCAUGUUUAUUUUUCUCAACGCCAAGCCCAGACCCAGCAAGAAAGCUCGGUUGAUAAACCGGCUGAUGAAGACGUGGCUGUUGAACCAAAGAAAACUCCAGAUCCUGAAGAGACCAACAUUAAUGCCAUACUGAAUGACCCACCGCCUCAAGAUCAUGACUUCAUUGCUGAGCAGGCAGCAGUUGACACCACAAGCCAUGCUGACCAGCCAACCAGCCCUGUCCGAACUGACAAUAAACCGGCAAGUCAAGUUAAAAAUACUGACAAACCGCCAACCCCAGUAACGGCUGCUGAUGACAAAGAUGAUGACAUUAUGAUUACUGGCACUGGCCAUACCGCUCCGGGCAAUCCUGUUGCUUUGUCAAAACAUACUGCCAAUGAUGAGCUCUCGGCAAUUGGCAAAGGCAAAUGGAACACCGAUUUGUCAAAUUAUGCCCAUCUGAAUGCUCAAGACCUUCACUCUGGCUUCCUGAACCGUCUGUACACCAGCCGUGACUAUGAAGCCGGUUUGGUAAAUAUGAUGAAGGAGCGAUAUGAGGUAACUUCAUAAGUUUUUCUCUCUUAUAUUUAAUUGCAGCUUAUCAACUCCAGUAGCCCCCAAGUGACGGUUUAAGAUAUCAAUUUAAACCGGGACUUAGUGACAAUUUCAUGUUUGCAACAAUGCAUCUUAACUUCACUGAUGUAGCCCCCAAGGGCCGGUUUAACUUUAUAAAGAUGAACCGGGACUUUGUAGAAGAAUUCCCAUAUCAGCAUUUUAUGAGCAAAUACACAUUAGCCCCCAAGUGCCAAGCUUAAUACUUGUAUUGUGCUUGGGACUUGUAAAAAUUUCUGAUAAAGAGCAAAUAUGCAUUAGCCCCCAAGUACUAAGGGCAUAACUUGUUAUGUACUUGGUACUUCAAAUAUGUACUGUCAACUUAUUAUAUAUCUGUCUCUUUGUAGGAUGAACUGAACAAGAAGGAAAGCCAAACCGCUGAUCUGCAAGAGAACCUCAAGUCCCAACAAGCUGAAACCUCCAAAGCGAAGGAAGAAUUGACCUGCGCUCUAGGCGCUAUGGAGAAACUGAAAGAGAGCUUCAACAAAGAGCGGGCGGAUUGGGAGACUAAAAAAUCCGCUUUGAUAAAAAGGGCUGAAAAAGCAGAAGCCGCUCUUAAACCGGUGGUUGAUGAACUGACCGGCGUAAAGCGGCAGAUUCAUGCUAUGACCGCUGCUGUGUUUGGUAAGCAUCCUUACUUUAUACUUUCAACAUAUCUUCCCAUGUGUUGCUGGUUUACUGACGUUUAUAAUGAUGCAGGAACUCGUAUUAGCCAUCUGGGCUCUGACGUACAGAGGAAAUUAAAAGCGGCCUAUACUCUGAUAGAGCAGCUGUAUACCGGUGCGCAGCGGAUCAUCUGCACCGCUUCACACAAUAAACCUCCUCCAACUUUGAUCAAGGACACCUUAGAAAGGCUAUCCAUGCUGCAUGCUCGGGUUGAAGAACUAAAGAAAGCUGCGGCAAGGGCCGGAGCUCUGACCGCUCUAACCCGGGCAAAGGCGUGGGUGCCUGAUCUUGAUCCGGUGGACGUGGCUAAAGGCUUCCCAAGCUUAAAAGAAGACGGAUCAGAAUUUGGCCAGGAGGAUCUCCGCGCCAUAAACCGGGAAGUACGUCCACUGGCUUGUCAAUUGGCUGAAGAAGCUGAUCUCUCAUACUAUCAGGCAAGUUAUGAUGACAAGAACAGACGGGUUGCUGCACCAAUUUCGGAAGCGCAAAAUCUGAUCCCUCCAAUCCGUAAGCACACUUAUGCCCCUGAUAUUGAACCGUCCACCCUUAUAAGCGACGAAGCUGUGUUCCAAGCGUUAACUGGAAUCGACUGGACAACUAUUGACUUCCAGCCGCUGGGUAGAGAUGAAGAGGAUGAACCGGUGCAAGAUGAUCCGCAGCCUUCAGGGCAAGCUGGUGAUCAAUCAUAAUCCGGAGGCCGGUUUAGCCUUCUACAUGCUGCAACACGUAUUUGAGAAAACCAUUAUCCUUUUGGGCACUGAAACGCCUUGUAAUAGGCUAGUUAAAGCACUUGGUCUGUUAUGCCUUCGUGCAUAUUUAUCUGCGACUGAUGUUUGCUUAAUCCGACAUGCUUAAGAUAUGAUGUUCAUAAUCCAUAGCCAUUUAUUCAAGCUGUUCCUGCAGAUGAGAAGCUUAAAGCGCCCUGGCGGUUUACCACCGGGCGGGUCAUGAUAGCCAAAUACAUAUAUAUGACCAAGGUUUAUAACCAAGGUUGUAAAGAUAACCAAAUAUGGAAAUAUAUGAUACCUGUGACCUUUAGGCAUAAUGUUGGCUGACCAACUUUUGUAGUGAGGGUCAUAACCCUAAUCUGGAGGAUAAGUAACUCCUGUUAUUGUUGGGGAUCGUAGCAGAAUUUUAAAAUUUACCUACGCUCACCAAGAUCCAUCUAUGGAGUAUACUAGCAACGAGGGGAAAGGAGUGCAUCUACAUACCCUUGUAGAUCGCGAGCGGAAGCGUUCCAAUGAACGUUGUUGACGGAGUCGUACUCGCCGUGAUUCAAAUCACCGAUGACCGAGUGCCAAACGGACGGCACCUCCGCGUUCAACACACGUACGGUGCAGCGAUGUCUCCUCCGUCUUGAUCCAGCAAGGGGGAAGGAGAGGUUGAUGGAGAUCCAGCAGCACGACGGCGUGGUGGUGGAUGUAGCGGGAUGUCGGCAGGGCUUCGCCGAGCUUCUGCGAGAGAGAGAGGUGUAGCAGGGGAGGAGGGAGGCGCCCAAGGCUGUAGUCCCACUGCCCUCCCUCCCCCCUUUAUAUAGGCCCCCUGGGAGGGGGGCGCCGGCCAGGAACCCAUCUGGAUGGGGGGGGCGGCGGCCAGGGGGGUAACUUACCCCCCAAGUCAAGUGGGGCGCCCCCCCACCCUAGGGUUUCCAACCCUAGGCGCAGGGGGAGGCCCAUGGGGGGCGCCCCAGCCCACUAUGGGCUGGUUCCCUUCCCACUUCAGCCCAUGGGGCCCUCCGGGACAGGUGGCCCCACCCGGUGGACCCCCGGGACCCUUCCGGUGGUCCCGGUACAAUACCGAUAACCCCCGAAACUUUCCCGGUGGCCGAAACUGGACUUCCUAUAUAUAAUUCUUCACCUCCGGACCAUUCCGGAACUCCUCGUGACGUCCGGGAUCUCAUCCGGGACUCCGAACAACUUUCAGGUUUCCGCAUACUCAUAUCUCUACAACCCUAGCGUCACCGAACCUUAAGUGUGUAGACCCUACGGGUUCGGGAGACAUGCAGACAUGACCGAGACGCCUGUCCGGUCAAUAACCAACAGUGGGAUCUGGAUACCCAUGUUGGCUCCCACAUGUUCCACGAUGAUCUCAUCGGAUGAACCACGAUGUCGAGGAUUCAAUCAAUCCCGUAUACAAUUCCCUUUGUCAAUCGGUAUGUUACUUGCCCGAGAUUCGAUCCUCGGUAUCCCAAUACCUUGUUCAAUCUCGUUACCGGCAAGUCUCUUUACUCGUACCGCAAUGCAUGAUCCCGUGACUAACGCCUUAGUCACAUUGAGCUCAUUAUGAUGAUGCAUUACCGAGUGGGCCCAGAGAUACCUCUCCGUCACACGGAGUGACAAAUCCCAGUCUCGAUCCGUGCCAACCCAACAGACACUUUCGGAGAUACCCGCAGUGUACCUUUAUAGUCACCCAGUUACGUUGUGACGUUUGGCACACCCAAAGCACUCCUACGGUAUCCGGGAGUUGCACGAUCUCAUGGUCUAAGGAAUAGAUACCUGACAUUGGAAAAGCUCUAGCAAACGAAACUACACGAUCUUUUAUGCUAUGCUUAGGAUUGGGUCUUGUCCAUCACAUCAUUCUCCUAAUGAUGUGAUCCCGUUAUCAAUGACAUCCAAUGUCCAUAGUCAGGAAACCGUGACUAUCUGUUGAUCAACGAGCUAGUCAACUAGAGGCUUACUAGGGACACGUUGUGGUCUAUGUAUUCACACAUGUAUUACGAUUUCCGGAUAAUACAAUUAUAGCAUGAACAAUAGACAAUUAUCAUGAACAAAGAAAUAUAAUAACAACCAUUUAUUAUUGCCUCUAGGGCAUAUUUCCAACAGUCUCCCACUUGCACUAGAGUCAAUAAUCUAGUUAUAUUGUGAUGAAUCGAACACCCAUUGCGUCCUGGUGUUGAUCAUGUUUUGCUCUAGGGAGAGAUUUAGUAAACGGAUUUGCUACAUUCACGUCCGUAUGUACUUUACAAAUAUCUAUGUCUCCAUUUUGAACACUUUCACGAAUGGAGUUGAAGCGACGCUUGAUAUGCCUGGUCUUCCUGUGAAACCUGGGCUCCUUCGCAAGGGCAAUAGCUCCAGUGUUGUCACAGAAGAGAGUCAUCGGGCCCGACGCAUUGGGAAUCACCCCUAGGUCGGUAAUGAACUCCUUCAUCCAGACUGCUUCCUGUGCUGCCUCCGAGGCUGCCAUGUACUCCGCUUCACAUGUAGAUCCCGCCACGACGCUUUGCUUGCAACUGCACCAGCUUACUGCUCCUCCAUUCAAAAUAUACACGUAUCCAGUUUGUGACUUCGAGUCAUCCAGAUCUGUGUCGAAGCUAGCGUCGACGUAACCCUUUACGACGAGCUCUUCGUCACCUCCAUAAACGAGAAACAUAUCCUUAGUCCUCUUCAGGUACUUCAGGAUAUUCUUGACCGCUGUCCAGUGUUCCAUGCCGGGAUUACUUUGGUACCUUCCUACCAAACUUACGGCAAGGUUUACAUCAGGUCUGGUACACAGCAUGGCAUACAUAAUAGACCCUAUGGCCGAGGCAUAGGGGAUGACACUCAUCUUUUCUCUAUCUUCUGCCGUGGUCGGGCAUUGAGCCGUGCUCAAUUGCACACCUUGCAAUACAGGCAAGAACCCCUUCUUGGACUGAUCCAUAUUGAACUUCUUCAAUAUCUUGUCAAGGUAUGUACUCUAUGAAAGACCAAUGAGGCGUCUUGAUCUAUCUCUAUAGAUCUUGAUGCCUAAUAUAUAAGCAGCUUCUCCAAGGUCCUUCAUUGAAAAACACUUAUUCAAAUAGGCCUUUAUACUUUCCAAGAAUUCUAUAUCAUUUCCCAUCAAUAGUAUGUCAUCCACAUAUAAUAUGAGAAAUGCUACAGAGCUCCCACUCACUUUCUUGUAAACACAGGCUUCUCCAUAAGUCUGUGUAAACCCAAACGCUUUGAUCAUCUCAUCAAAGCGAAUGUUCCAACUCCGAGAUGCUUGCACCAGCCCAUAGAUUGAGCGCUGGAGCUUGCAUACUUUUUUAGCAUUCUUAGGAUCGACAAAACCUUCUGGCUGCAUCAUAUACAACUCUUCCUUAAGGAAGCCGUUAAGGAAUGCCGUUUUGACGUCCAUCUGCCAUAUCUCAUAAUCAUAGUAUGCGGCAAUUGCUAACAUGAUUCAGAUGGACUUCAGCUUCGCUACGGGUGAGAAAGUCUCAUCGUAGUCAACCCCUUGAACUUGUCGAUAACCCUUAGUGACAAGUCGAGCUUUAUAGAUGGUCACAUUACCAUCCGCGUCCGUCUUCUUCUUAAAGAUCCAUUUGUUUUCUAUGGCUCGCCGAUCAUCGGGCAAGUGAGUCAAAGUCCAUACUUCGUUUUCAUACAUGGAUCCUAUCUCGGAUUUCAUGGCUUCUAGCCAUUUGUCGGAAUCCGGGCCCGCCAUCGCUUCUUCAUAGUUCGAAGGUUCACCGUUGUCUAACAACAUGAUUUCCAGGAUAGGGUUGCCGUACCACUCUGGUGCGGAACGUGUCCUUGUGGACCUACGAAGUUCAGUAGUAACUUGAUCCGAAGCUUCAUGAUCAUCAUCAUUAACUUCCUCCCCAGUCGGUGUAGGCACCACAGGAACAUCUUCCCGCGCUGCGCUACUUUGCGGUUCGGAAGGGGUGACUAUCACCUCAUCAAGUUCCACUUUCCUCCCACUCAAUUAUUUCGAGAGAAACUCCUUCUCCAGAAAGGACCCGUUCUUGGCAACGAAGAUCUUUCCUUCGGAUCUGAGGUAGAAGGUAUACCCAAUAGUUUCCUUAGGGUAUCCUAUGAAGACGCAUUUUUCCGACUUGGGUUCGACCUUUUCAGGUUGAAGUUUCUUGACAUAAGCAUCGCAUCCCCAAACUUUUAGAAACGACAGCUUAGGUUUCUUCCCAAACCAUAAUUCAUACGGUGUCGUCUCAACGGAUUUCGACGGAGCCCUAUUUAAAGUGAAUGCGGCAGUCUCUAAAGCAUAGCCCCAAAAUGAGAGCGGUAAAUCGGUAAGAGACAUCAUAGAUCGCACCAUAUCCAAUAGAGUGCGAUUACGACGUUCGGACACACCGUUUCGCUGAGGUGUUCCAGGCGGCGUGAGUUGUGAAACGAUUCCACAUUUCCUUAAGUGCGCACCAAAUUCGUGACUUAAAUAUUCUCCACCACGAUCUGAUCGUAAGAACUUUAUUCUCCUGUCACGUUGAUUCUCAACCUCACUCUGAAAUUCCUUGAACUUUUCAAAGGUUUCAGACUUGUGUUUCAUUAGGUAGACAUACCCAUAUCUACUUAAGUCAUCAGUGAGAGUGAGAACAUAAUGAUAUCCUCCGCGAGCCUCAACACUCAUUGGACCGCACACAUCGGUAUGUAUGAUUUCCAAUAAGUUGGUUGCUCGCUCCAUUGUUCCGGAGAACGGAGUCUUGGUCAUCUUACCCAUGAGGCAUGGUUCGCACGUGUCAAAUGAUUCGUAAUCAAGAGACUCCAAAAGUCCAUCUGCAUGGAGCUGCUUCAUGCGCUUGACACCAAUGUGACCAAGGCGGCAGUGCCACAAGUAUGUGGGACUAUCGUUAUCAACUUUACAUCUUUUGGUAUUCACACUAUGAAUAUGUGUAACAUCAUGUUCGAGAUUCAUCAAGAAUAAACCAUUAACCAGCGGGGCAUGACCAUAAAACAUAUCUCUCAUAUAAAUAGAACAACCAUUAUUCUCGGAUUUAAAUGAGUAGCCAUCUCGAAUUAAACGAGAUCCAGAUACAAUGUUCAUGCUCAAAGCUGGCACUAAAUAACAAUUAUUGAGGUUUAAAACUAAUCCCGUAGGUAGAUGCAGAGGUAGCGUGCCGACGGCGAUCACAUCGACCUUGGAACCAUUCCCGACGCGCAUCGUCACCUCGUCCUUCGCCAGUCUCCGUUUAUUCCGUAGUUCCUGUUUUGAGUUACAAAUAUGAGCAACCGCACCGGUAUAAAAUACCCAGGAGCUACUACGAGUACUGGUAAGGUACACAUCAAUUACAUGUAUAUCACUAUACCUUUGGUGUUGCCGGCCUUCUUGUCCGCUAAGUAUUUGGGGCAGUUCCGCUUCCAGUGACCACUUCCCUUGCAAUAAAAGCACUCAGUCUCAGGCUUGGGUCCAUUCUUCGACUUCUUCCCAGUAACUGGCUUACCGGACGCGGCAACUCCCUUGCCGUCCUUCUUGAAGUUCUUCUUACCCUUGCCCUUCUUGAACUUAGUGGUUUUAUUCACCAUCAACACUUGAUGUUCUUUUCUGAUCUCCACCUCCGCUGAUUUCAGCAUUGAAUAUACCUCAGGAAUGAUCAUUUCCAUCCCCUGCAUAUUGAAGUUCAUCACAAAGCUCUUGUAGCUUGGUGGAAGCGACUGGAGGAUUCUGUCAAUGACCGCGUCAUCCGGGAGAUUAACUCCCAGCUGGGAUAAGUGGUUGUGUAACCCAGACAUUCUGAGUAUGUGCUCACUAACAGAACUAUUCUCCUCCAUUUUACAGCUGAAGAACUUGUCGGAGACUUCAUAUCUCUCGACCCGGGCAUGAGCUUGGAAAACCAUUUUCAGCUCCCCGAACAUCUCAUAUGCUCCAUGUUUCUCAAAACGCUUUUGGAGACCCGGUUCCAAGCUGUAAAGCAUGCCGCACUGAACGAGGGAGUAAUCAUCAGCACGCUGCUGCCAAGCGUUCAUAACGUCUUGGUUCUCUGGGAUUGGUGCUUCACCUAGCGGUGCUUCUAAGACAUAAUCUUUCUUGGCUGCUAUGAGGAUGAUCCUCAGGUUCCGGACCCAGUCCGUAUAGUUGCUGCCAUCAUCUUUCAGCUUGGUUUUCUCUAGGAACGCGUUGAAAUUGAGGACAACGUGGGCCAUUUGAUCUACAAGACAUAGUGUAAAGAUUUUAGACGAAGUUCAUGAUAAUUAAGUUCAUCUAAUCAAAUUACUCAAUGAACUCCCACUCAGAUAGACAUCCCUCUAGUCAUCUAAGUGAAACAUGAUCCGAGUUAACUAGGCCGUGUCCGAUCAUCACGUGAGACGGACUAGUCAAGAUCGGUGAACAUCUCCAUGUUGAUCGUAUCUUCUAUACGACUCAUGCUCGACCUUUCGGUCCUCCGUGUUCCAAGGCCAUGUCUGUACAUGCUAGGCUCGUCAAGUUAACCUAAGUGUAUUGCAUGUGUUCCGAGGCCAUGUCUGUACAUGCUAGGCUCGUUAACACCCGUUGUAUGCGAACGUUAGAAUCUAUCACACCCGAUCAUCACGUGGUGCUUCGAAACAACGAACCUUCGCAACGGUGCACAGUUAGGGGGAACACUUUCUUGAAAUUAUCAUAAGGGAUCAUCUUACUUACUACCGUCGUUCUAAGCAAAUAAGAUGCAAAAACAUGAUAAACAUCACAUGCAAUCAAAUAGUGACAUGAUAUGGCCAAUACCAUUUUGCUCCUUUGAUCUCCAUCUUCGGGGCACCAUGAUCAUCUUCGUCACCGGCAUGACACCAUGAUCUCCAUCAUCAUGAUCUCCAUCAUUGUGUCUUCAUGAAGUUGUCACGCCAACGGUUACUUCUACUUCUAUGGCUAACACAUUUAGCAAUAAAGUAAAGUAAUUUACAUGGCGUUAUUCAAUGACACGCAGGUCAUACAAAAUAAUAAAGACAACUCCUAUGGCUCCUGCCGGUUGUCAUACUCAUCGACAUGCAAGUCAUGAUUCCUAUUACAAUAAUAUGAUCAAUCUCAUACAUCACAUAUAUCAUUCAUCACAUCUUCUGGCCAUAUCACAUCACAUAGCACAUGCUGCAAAAACAAGUUAGACGUCCUCUAAUUGUUGUUGAAAGUUUUUACGUGGUUUGUAGGUUUCUAGCAAGAACGUUUCUUACCUACGUAUGACCACAACGUGAUUUGCCAAUUUCUAUUUACCCUUCAUAAGGACCCUUUUCAUCGAAUCCGUUCCGACUAAAGUAGGAGAGACAGACACCCGCUAGCCACCUUAUGCAACUAGUGCAUGUCAGUCGGUGGAACCUGUCUCACGUAAGCGUACGUGUAAGGUCGGUUCGGGCCGCUUCAUCCCACAAUGCCGCCGAAACAAGAUAAGACUAGUAGCGGCAAGAAGAAUUGGCAACAUCAACGCCCACAACUGCUUUGUGUUCUACUCGUGCAUAGUAACUACGCAUAGGCCUGGCUCAUGAUGCCACUGUUGGGGAUCGUAGCAGAAUUUUAAAAUUUACCUACGCUCACCAAGAUCCAUCUAUGGAGUAUACUAGCAACGAGGGGAAAGGAGUGCAUCUACAUACCCUUGUAGAUCGCGAGCGGAAGCGUUCCAAUGAACGUUGUUGACAGAGUCGUACUCGCCGUGAUUCAAAUCACCGAUGACCGAGUGCCGAACGGACGGCACCUCCGCGUUCAACACACGUACGGUGCAGCGACGUCUCCUCCUUCUUGAUCCAGCAAGGGGGAAGGAGAGGUUGAUGGAGAUCCAGCAGCACGACGGCGUGGUGGUGGAUGUAGCGGGAUGUCGGCAGGGCUUCGCCGAGCUUCUGCGAGAGAGAGAGGUGUAGCAGGGGAGGAGGGAGGCGCCCAAGGCUAUAGUCCCACUGCCCUCCCUCCCCCCUUUAUAUAGGCCCCCUGGGAGGGGGGGCGCCGGCCAGGAACCCAUCUGGAUGGGGGGGGCGGCGGCCAGGAGGGUAACUUACCCCCCAAGUCAAGUGGGGCGCCCCCCCCUACCCUAGGGUUUCCAACCCUAGGCGCAGGGGGGAGGCCCAUGGGCGGCGCCCCAACCCACUAUGGGUUGGUUCCCUUCCCACUUCAGCCCAUGGGGCCCUCCGGGACAGGUGGCCCCACCCGGUGGACCCCCGGGACCCUUCCGGUGGUCCCGGUACAAUACCGAUAACCCCCGAAACCGGUGGCCGAAACUGGACUUCCUAUAUAUAAUUAUUCACCUCCGGACCAUUCCGGAACUCCUCGUGACGUCCGGGAUCUCAUCCGGGACUCCGAACAACUUUCGGGUUUCCGCAUACUCAUAUCUCUACAACCCUAGCGUCACCGAACCUUAAGUGUGUAGACCCUACGGGUUCGGGAGACAUGCAGACAUGACCGAGACGCCUCUCCGAUCAAUAACCAACAGCGGGAUCUGGAUACCCAUGUUGGCUCCCACAUGUUCCACGAUGAUCUCAUCGGAUAAACCACGAUGUCGAGGAUUCAAUCAAUCCCGUAUACAAUUCCCUUUGUCAAUCGGUAUGUUACUUGCCCGAGAUUCGAUCGUCGGUAUCCCAAUACCUUGUUCAAUCUCGUUACCGGCAAGUCUCUUUACUCGUACCGCAAUGCAUGAUCCCGUGACUAACGCCUUAGUCACAUUGAGCUCAUUAUGAUGAUGCAUUACCGAGUGGGCCCAGAGAUACCUCUCCGUCACACGGAGUGACAAAUCCCAGUCUCAAUCCGUGCCAACCCAACAGACACUUUCGGAGAUACCCGCAGUGUACCUUUAUAGUCACCCAGUUACGUUGUGACGUUUGGCACACCCAAAGCACUCCUACGGUAUCCGGGAGUUGCACGAUCUCAUGGUCUAAGGAAUAGAUACCUGACAUUGGAAAAGCUCUAGCAAACGAAACUACACGAUCUUUUAUGCUAUGCUUAGGAUUGGGUCUUGUCCAUCACAUCAUUCUCCUAAUGAUGUGAUCCCGUUAUCAAUGACAUCCAAUGUCCAUAGUCAGGAAACCGUGACUAUCUGUUGAUCAACGAGCUAGUCAACUAGAGGCUUACUAGGGACACGUUGUGGUCUAUGUAUUCACACAUGUAUUAUGAUUUCCGGAUAAUACAAUUAUAGCAUGAACAAUAGACAAUUAUCAUGAACAAAGAAAUAUAAUAAUAACUAUUUAUUAUUGCCUCUAGGGCAUAUUUCCAACAGCUAUAUGAUGCCGGUUUACAAUAAAACCGUUUCGGGUGGUGAUAAACACCGGUUUAUUCCAUACUGGUGACUUUGAGUCAAACCAGACCGGGCUGAUAGUCGCCGGAUUAUAAUUUGAUCGUGUACUGACAACUUGUAGUUGACAGCCUAACCGGGUUGAUAAACACCGGUUUAAAAAACAUCACAAAUCUUAUGAAAACAAAGAAAACUUAGCAAAAGGCAAAUGAAAACCGUUGUACUCGAGGCUUUUCACGGGCUGCCAGGCCCCAAAGUCGAGGCUUUUCAUGGGCUGCCAGGCCACUGAGUUAAACCAUUUCUGCAAAGCCUUUUAAGAUGGUCCUCAAUCCUUAACCAAUCAUCGUUUUAACUUGACAAGUUCAGGGUCUUCAUUUUAGAGUAACUUGUCAAAGUUCAAAGGGUCAUACCAGGUUUACCUGGGUGGAGUGACUUACUUAAAUAGGUAGGUUAACUCGGGGUUUUAGGUGUAUACACCAGGCUUCCAAGCCAUGGCUUGAUAGCCUGUUACAAGUGUAGAUUCUUAGUUCAUUUCGACAGCAAAGAAUCCCCAAGCAACAUUUUGAGAUGUGCUCAAUGGGUGCCUAUGUUUGAGCUGUUGCUUUACAAUACUCUCUUUGGCCCCGGAUUGAUGUGGCUUUGAGCCGAUCAAGAGGUGUGACUGUCGUUCGGAUACGACCAAGCCCCCAAGUGAUGCUGUGGCAUUGCGCCUGAUCAAGAGGUGUAGCUAUGGUUCAGAUACGACCAAGCCCCCAAGUUAUGCUGUGGCAUUGCGCCGAUCAAGAGGUGUAGCUAUGGUUCGGAUACGACCAAGCCCCCAAGUGAUGUAAUAUAAAGCUUUGAGAAGCUAAAUCAAGGGGUAAACCGGACGCCGCUUUGUAAGCUCCAUGUAACCACACAUGAUGUAAGAAAAACAACAGAUACCCCGCUUUAGCUGAGGUUCCGGUUUAUUAUAUUGAUCAUAAUAUAUACAUUGUCAUAAUAUGUACAUAAGCAGAGCCUGUAGCUCAAGUAUAGUAGGGCCGAAGAUGAGCAAUAUUCCACGGCCGGUUGGUCUCCUCCUCCGAUUUACGUGAGUCUUUGCGCUCUCGAACAUCGAUUAGGUAGUAUGACCCGUUGUGUAGAUUCUUGCUGACCACAAAGGGUCCUUCCCAAGGGGGGAUAGCUUAUGCAUAUCCAUCUGAUCCUGGAUGAGCCGAAGCACCAAAUCGCCUUCUUGAAAGGUUCUGGUUCUAACCCGGCGGCUAUGAUAACGACGCAGAUCUUGCUGAUAAAUCGCCGAACGGGCUGCCGCCAUGUCACGUUCCUCAUCUAACAGGUCAAGAGAUUCCUGCCGUGCUUUAUCGUUGUCAGCUUCAACAUAUGCCGCUACACGAGGCGAGUCAUGACGGAUGUCACUCGAAAGAACUGCUUCCACUCCAUAAACCAUAAAGAAUGGUGUGAUCCUGCCGAUCUGUUGGGUAUGGUAUUGAUGCUCCACAACACAGAAGGUAACCCCUCAACCCAACAACCCGGCGUCCGUUGCAAAGGAACCAUAAGCCGGGGUUUGAUGCCUCUCAAGAUCUCUUGAUUGGCCCUCUUCGCUUGACCAUUGGACCGGGGGUGAGCCACUGAUGAUACAUCAAGCCGGAUGUGCUCACGUUGACAGAACUCCUUCAUGGCACCCUCUGACAGAUUGGUACCAUUGUCUGCUAUAAUGCUGUGUGGAAAGCCAAACCGGAAGAUCACCUUUUUGAUGAAUUGAACCGCCGUGGCUGCAUCACACUUACUAACUGGCUCUGCCUCCACCCACUUCGUGAACUUAUCAACCGCCACGAAGAGGUGGGUCUUCUUGUCCUUGGACCUCUUGAAAGGCCCAACCAUAUCCAGCCCCCAAGUUGCAAACGGGCAAGUGAUUGGAAUCAUCCUCAAUUCUUGAGCUGGUACAUGAGCGUGCCUUGAGAAUUUCUGACAGCCAUCACAUCUUUUGACCAAUUCCUCGGCAUCAGCAUGAGCUGUCAACCAAUAGAAACCGUGACGAAACGCCUUGGCCACCAAAGAUUUUGAACCGGCGUGGUGACCACAAUCUCCUUCGUGGAUCUCACGCAAAAUUUCACGGCCUUCCUCAGGAGACACACAGCGUUGAAACGCCCCUGUCACAUUGCAAUGAUGUAACUCUCCAUUGAUAAUAGUCAUGGACUUGGACCGCCGGAUUAUCUGCCUGGCCAUAGUUUCGUCCUAUGGUAACUCACCCCGGUUCAUAUACGCCAGAUAUGGAACCGUCCAAUCCGGGAUAACAUGAAGAGCCGCCACCAACUGAGCCUCCAGAUCAGGAACAGCCAAAUCCUCUUCACCAGGGAGCUUGACGGACAGAUUAUGCAAAACAUCCAGGAAGACAUUAGGUGGAACUGGUUUACGUUGGGAACCCAGGCGGCUUAAAGCGUCCGCCGCUUCAUUCUUCCACCGGUCCACAUGAUCCACCUGAUAACCUUUAAAGUGACUUGCAACAAUAUCCACCUCACGACGAUACGCUGCCAUUAGUGGGUCCUUGGAAUCCCAAGUGCCGGACACUUGUUGAGCCACCAGAUCCGAGUCACCGAAGCACAUAACUCGGCUUAGGUUCCUCUCCUUAGCCAUCCGAAGACCAUGGAGUAAAGCCUCAUAUUCAGCUGCAUUGUUAGUACAAGGGAACACCUCAUGGGGAAAUUAAUACGACUCUAGCCCCCGAGCCCUCCAAUUGCCUGGACCCAUCAAAAUGAAUAGUCCAAUAAGUAUGAUCCGGCUUCUCCUCUGGCGCUUGUAAUUCUGUCCAAUCAUUGAUGAAAUCCACAAGUGCCUGAGAUUUGAUCGUCGUUCGGGGUAUGUAUUUCAACCCGUGAGGCCCGAGCUCUAUAUCCCACUUAGCAAUCCGGCCAGUUGCUUCCCUGUUCUGGAUUAUAUCUCCCAACGGAGUAGAGCUGACCACCGUGAUGGGAUGACCUUGGAAAUACUGCUUAAGCUUCCGGCUUGCCAUAAAAACCCCAUACACCAACUUUUGCCAAUGCAGGUACCUCUGCUUGGACUCAAUAAGUACCUCACUGAUAUAGUAGACCGGCCGUUGAACUGGAUAUUCCUUUCCGGCCUCCUUGCCUCCACCACAAUAGCCACACUAACAGCCCGGGCGUGAGCUGCCACAUAUAGCAACAAUGGCGCUUUGUCAACCGGAGCAGCGAGAACCGGAGGAUUAGCCAGCUGCCGCUUUAAGUCCUCAAAUGCUUCAUUAACGGCGUCACUCCAGACGAAGUUAUCCGUUUUCUUCAGCAUCCGAUACAAAGGAAUGGCCUUCUCGCCAAGGCGACUGAUAAACCGGCUCAACGCGGCAAUCCGUCCUGCCAGGCGUUGAACAUCAUUGAUACACUUCGGUUUGGCCAAGGAGGUGAUGGCCUUGAUCUUUUCCGAAUUAGCUUCAAUACCCCGGUUAGACACCAAAAAACCCAAGAGCUUGCCUGCAGGUACACCAAAGACGCACUUGGCCAGAUUAAGCAUCAUUUUGUAAACCCGCGGGUUAUCGAAGGUUUCCUUCAAGUCAUCAAUCAAUGUCUCCUUCUUCCUUGAUUUCACCACAAUAUCAUCCACAUAGGCGUGAACAUUGCGGCCGAUCUGUUUAUGAAGACAAUUCUGCACACACCGUUGAUAAGUCGCCUGGGCACUCUUGAGCCCAAAGGGCAUGGACACAUAGCAGAAGGCUCCAAAGGGAGUUAUGAAGGUUGUCUUCUCCUGGUCCUUAACUGCCAUUUUGAUCUGAUGAUAACCAGAAUAUGCAUCCAAAAAGCUCAAACGCUCGCAACCCACCGUAUCAUCAAUAAUUUGAUCAAUACGAGGGAGGGCAAAAGGAUCUGCUGGACAAGCUUUGUUAAGGUCUGUGUAGUCCACACACAUACGCCAAGUGCUGUUCUUUUUAAGGACCAGCACCGGAUUAGCCAACCACUCAGGAUGGAAUACUUCAACGAUAAAUCCAGCCACCAAGAGCCUGGCUACUUCUUCUUCAAUAGCUUUGCGUCUUUCUUCAUUGAACCGCCGGAGAAACUGCUUGACCGGUUUAUACUUGGGAUCAACAUUGAGAGUGUGCUCAGCGAGUUCUCUCGGUACACCUGGCAUGUCAGAAGGCUUCCAUGCAAAGAUGUUCCGAUUCUCACGGAUGAACUCGAUGAGCACGCUUUCCUAUUUCGGAUCCAAGUUAGCGCUGAUGCUAAACUGCUUGGACGAAUCGCCAGGCACGAAGUCAACAAGCUUAGUCUCAUCAGCCGAUUUAAACUUCAGGGCCGGAUCAUGCUCUGUAGUUGGUUUCUUCAACGAAGUCAUAUCUGCCGGAUCAACAUUGUCCUUGUAAAACUUCAACUCUUCUGUCGCACAAACCGACUCAGCAUAAGCCGCAUCACCUUCUUCACACUCCAGAGCAAUCUUGCGGCUCCCAUGCAUGGUUAUAGUUCCCUUGUGACCCGGCAUCUUGAGCUGCAGAUAGACAUAACAAGGCUGUGCCAUAAACUUAACAUAAGCUGGCCGUCCAAAUAGGGCAUGAUACGGGCUUCUGAUUUUCACCACUUCAAAGGUCAAGGUUUCUGAUCUCGAGUCAUGCUCAUCUCCAAAAGCCACCUCUAGAGCUAUCUUACCAACAGGAUAUGCCGACUUACCAGGCACCACACCAUGGAACACCGUAUUGGACGGUUUAAGAUUUUUAUCUGUUAACCCCAUGCGACGGAAAGUUUCAUAAUAAAGGAUAUUGAUACUACUCCCUCCAUCCAUGAGUACCUUAGUGAACUUAUAACCUCCCACCUGAGGUGCCACCACCAGAGCUAGAUGACCCGGAUUGUCAACCCAGGGUGGAUGAUCUUCUCUACUCCACACAAUCGGCUGCUCGGACCAGCGCAAAUAACGGGGCACCGCCGGUUCAACGGCAUUCACCGCCCUUUUAUGAAGCUUCUGAUCGCGCUUGUCCAAGCUAGUGGUGAAGACAUGAUACUGUCCGCUAUUCAACUGCUUCGGGUUGCUCUGGUAACCCGACUGCUGCUGCUCCUCCUGAUUGCCCUGAUGAUUAUAGCCACCUUGGUUACCCUGAUUACUUUGAUUGUUAUGUCCACCCUGAUUGCCGUGGAAGCCUGAACCGGAAUUUCCUCCACCAUAACCUGGCCCAUGAGACCCGGGGCCCGAACCGCCUCCUGGUCCAUGAUCAUACCGGAAAGAAUCAGAACUUUUAAACUCUUGCAUGAUGUAACAAUCUUUCGAGAGGUGCGUGGACGGGAUCUCCUUCGUCCCAUGCUUCGGACAGGGCUGGUUCAACAAAUAAGACAAACGGUCCGGAUUAGGACUUGGCCCUCCACCGCGCUGGGGCGGUUUACCCUUACACCGCUGGCCCUUGUCAUGUGUAUUAGUAUUAGCCACAAAGUCUAAACCGUGGUCCGCCUUACACUUGCCGCCGUUUCCAUGACCCGCCGGGUUGUGGCGCUGCCCCUUGGCGUUGCCGCUCUUUUUUCCCUUCCCUGUCUUAUCAUCGUCAGACUCAGGAUCCUUGGUACUAUCAGAGUCGGCAUACUUCACCAGUGCAGCCAUGAGGGUUCCCAUGUCAUUACAAUGACGUUUGAGCCGUCCCAACUUCAACAUCAGGGGUUCAAACCGGCAAUUGCCCUCCAAUGUUAAAAUUGCGGUGUCAGCGUUGAUGCGGUCCGAUGAAUGCAAAAUCUCCGAGACCCGGCGCACCCAAUGGGUUGUUGACUCUCUUUCCUCCUGGACACAGGCAGCUAAGUCCACAAUUGACAUGGGCUGCUUGCAUGUAUCCUUGAAAUUCUGAAUAAACUAGGCUCUCAACUCGGCCCAUGACCUGAUAGAAUUAGCCGGUAAGCUCUUUAGCCAAGUGCGGACCGUCCCUUCUAGCAUCAUGGUGAAGUAUUUCGCACACGCCGCAUCAUCCACAUCCAGCAUCUCCAUGGCCAUCUCAUAGCUUUCGACCCAUGUUUCAGGGGAUAAAUCGGCGGUGUAAUUCGGCACCUUGCGCGGGCCCUUGAAAUCCUUGGGCAGGCGCACAUUGUGCAACGUCGGGACGAGACACGGCACUCCCAAAGAACUAGAGGUAACCCCUGGUUCCACCGAUGUGGUUGGACAAACCGGAGUAAGUUGACGGGCUUCAUGCUGCGCCGCUAACUCGGCCUCUCUGCGUGCCCGAGCCCGGUCCACCACCUCCUGAGCAUCACCAGCACCACCCGCCGGGUUAUUGCCACGGGGCGGAUCACGGUUCCGCGCAUUGCUUGACACUGCCGGUUCAUCCAUAUGCCUGCUGUAACUCCGGCUUGGACGGGGAGUGGAAUGAAUCCGAUCGCGACUAUAUGAAUAAGCCUCCUGUUGAACCAAGGCUGUCUGAAGAAGCUCCUUAACCCGACGCGUCUCGACCGCCGCCGGAGAAUCGCCUUCGAUCGGGAUGGCCGCCAGCCGUGAAGCGGCAGCGACAAUGUUGUCCAUUGGGUUAGAGUAAUGACCCGGUGGCGUGGGGACAUGCGGUGUUACAAUGUUGUUCUGACGAGGCGGAUCCAUCAAACGUGGCUGAACCGGCGCCUCUGCUCCAGGUGCCUCCGCCCGGUUUACCACCGGCGGAUUACUGGUCCCUGCUCCUGGGGUGUUAAAGAGAUUUCUAGCGUCAUAAACCAGCGGCAGGCGAGAUCUGUACCUCCUCUUCAGGACUUCGUCCGACGCACUCUGAUCCAGCAUAAUCCGGUAAGCUUGUGCAUCCAAAGCGGCCCGCUCCACGGCCAUCCUGGUAUCCUCAGCUGCUAAGUCGGCUUUGGCCCGGGUGAUCUGAUCUUUCACUUUCACGAUUUCCGCAUUGUGUGCAUCCUGAUCCGCCGGGUUAACCUCCGCCAUCAGUGUUGCCAACGCGUCAAACAAAUCUGAUAGAACCUGAGCUGGCGGUCGCACAGGGCCUCCUGCCCCGGCCGCGGUUGCCGCUGUCGAUCCGGAAAUCAUCGCCGCUGCGGUCGAAGAGUGGAGCGCCGGUUGUGUUUCGGCCAUGAAGAUCGCAACCCGGUUUGGCAGAUCAAAGGGGUCCGGAAUACUAUCGCCAUCGGAACAGCCCCCAAUCCGACAAUCUUGUAACUGAUAUAACGACUCGGUCUCUCCGGUCGAUGACUCGUCGCCGGAAUAAACGACGGUCUCACCACCAGAUUCCGAUCUAUCCUCUGAUUCCCCUCCACGGAUAACUCCCACGAAGGCAUGCUUCAUGACAGGCUUCACCCGGGCAGAUCUCGCACGCUGAGCCGUUUCGACGAGGUCGGUGCAGAUGUCCGGCUCAGGGCCCAGUUCGCCAAUCUUGCCAAUGAAAACGUGUAUGCCGCCAAAGGGGACCCGGUACCCGUACUCGAUUGAGCCGGCCUCGGGCCCCCAGCCUGCAUCGUCGAUGUAGAGCUUGCCGUGACGACUCUUGGUCAUCCGGCCCACAGCGUAACCCUUGAGUCCUUCGAAGUUGCCCUCCAAGAACUUGAAACCAUCGUGUGAUAGCCCCACGGUGGGCGCCAACUGUCGUGGUUUUGUCACGGCAGAUGUCCUAGAGAAAGGACUUAGUCGUGGAGCCAUCACUACGGGUUAACUUAAAGGGCUUAAAGCGGACAAGGGACGCAAGAGAGUUUUAUACUAGUUCGGCCCCUUACGAUGAAGGUAAAAGCCUACGUCUAGUUGUGAUGGAAUUGCUGGGGUUUCGAUGACCAAGGAGCGAAUACGCUAUGCCUGAGUCUCGAGUUGUUGUCUGUUGUCCUUGAACCGCCGCCGGGUCGUCCCCUUAUAUACAUGGGUUGACGCCCGUCAGUUUACAGAAUCCCGAGGCCGGCUCAUAAUCGUGUCCGGCUCGGUCUCUGCUACUUCUAUCUUACAACACAAGUCUACAUAUCAACACCGGUUUAUGUCUACGGGCCUUAAACCGGCUUUGGGCCCUGGGCCUCCAUAAAGCGUCACCAUCUGUCUUCAUGGACUUCAGAUACAGAGGAACUACUUAUGGGGUUAACCCGGCCUCUCCUGGCCGGUUUACGCCCAGUAGUAAUAUCCCCAACAGGAACCGAACCAGGCUGUAGAGGAAGCAAAAUCACAUAGGUCAGAUUAGCUCAUCUUAUUCCAUUGAUUUGCACCCCCCCCCCUCCCCCAAAGACCUCCCUAUUCCCCAUCCUGUAUAAGAACCCGGUUGUUUUCUUUCCGUUUCUUGCAUCUCUAGGCUGCACCUGCGAAAAAUGUGUAAAACCACCUACUGUGGUUAUUUUGAGAACAAAAACAAAAUGUGUUAGAAACUCUUUGGAGGUAAAUUGUGUUACAAACUUCAUCUAUAGCUUAGAAGUACAGGAAACUCUUUACUUCUUUACUUAAUAAAAUAUUUAAUUAAUGAUAAUUAUCACAUUGGCCAUAUGAAGUAAAUUGAAAAUCAUGCAAAAAUGUAUUGUGGCGAAUAAGGCAACUUCAAUCUGCCAUGGGAUAAUGUUAUUAGUGUGAUUUGAAAACCUGUGAUGAUUAUUUUGAACUGAAGGAAAAAAGUGUGACAUGGAACAUGAAUACGAUGUCACGAUGAAAAAGCAUGCAACCUUCUAUCUCCCGUACAACUUGGCAAAAAUCACAUGUAAAUUACAUGCUAAGCAUUUAAAUUUUAAUCUUACUUCACUAUAUUUGAACAUAUUUUAUAGGGUUUUGGUUAGGCCAAUGAACUGUGGGCACCGUGCGGCGAGAUGCAAUUUUAUUCUCUAUUUUUGCUGCGAGAUGCAAAUGGCCUGUUCAGGGCAGCAACAACGAACUUUUCUAAAAAAAGAGGCCGGCGUCCGGUUUUAAAUUAAUGAAGCCCAUCAUGCUCCAAGCUUCAUGAACCAUGGGAGAAUAUCAUACGGAAACCAAUAUUCCAUGAAAGGAAAUCAUAUUUUAAAGUUUCGAAAAAAUCUGAAAAAAAAUACAGGAUGUUAAGAGGGUGAUGUUUUAUUGUCACGCAAAAUUUCAAGUUGAAACACAUUACAAGAUGUGAGCUAUGAAAAAAAUUAGCCCUGAAUAAUGACAUUACUGUUCGGCACUAUUCAACACUGAUUUUCUCUUUUUCAUAGUCACAUCUCGUAACGUGUUUCAACUUGAAAUUUUGUGUGGUGAUAAACCAUCAUCCUCUUAACAUCCCGUAUUUUUUUUCAGAUUUUUUUAAAAGUUCAAAACAUCUUAUUUUUUUGAUUUUAACCGGUUUCCACCGAAUGUUAGUUUUCGUAUAAUAUUCUCUCCAUGAACUAUGGGGAUGGCGCCGGGCCCGGGGGCUCACGGCUCUUAUUAUUCGAAAUCAAGGAAAGUACUGGAUGGCUGAUCUUGGAGUUCGACCGUCAAGCUAUUGUCAAUUCUUGGAGGAUCGUGCCUAUACUAGUCGUACAUGGUUUGUUUGUUGCUCGUAGACAUUUGCAGCGCUCACUUGGCAGUCCUCAGUCCUACUAUAGGGCCAAUGGCGAGGUGAUGUGCACAGCUGCACAUGGUAGCAGUAAAAACCGAGCUAUGUGUGCAUCAUUGCUAUCCUUUCUGGAAGGAUAGGGACAAGUGAAAGCAUGAUGGCAUGGUGCAUCACAAAAAGCAGCGGGUCUGAAUUCCACAGUCUCACGCACACUUCUAGACGCGAGGGCCAAAUUGGCAACUCUAAACAGACUUUGAACUUCGAUCUGAUAAUAAGCAGCGGAUCAGGAUUCCACACUACCUCACACACACUUCUGGACGCGAGGGCCAAAUUGGCAACUUUAAGAGCAACUCUAAGAACCCAUUUUAUCUGCGUGUGUCCGUUUGAAUCGCCGUGGACAGAAAAGUUGACCCAACGCGCCGUUUCAAACGGACGCGCGUCCGAUUUUCGUCCUCUGGGUGAUCCAAUCCUAGACCAAAUUUGGAACUUAUUUGCCUCGGCGUGGACACGAUGCGGACGCGUGACUCCCGGCUACUCCUUCCCUAGCCCGCAGUCGGUGACACAUAGGCCAUUCUCUUCCACCCCCAUCGGCAGCAAACCCUCGCCCUCCCAAUCUCGUCGUCGCCGCCGCCCAGUUUCGGUGCCCCUGCCAGCAGUCCGCGCCCAGACACCUCCCCCGCACACUGCCACCUCCCACAUCGCCACCACCACCGCNNNNNNNNNNNNNNNNNNNNNNNNNNNNNNNNNNNNNNNNNNNNNNNNNNNNNNNNNNNNNNNNNNNNNNNNNNNNNNNNNNNNNNNNNNNNNNNNNNNNNNNNNNNNNNNNNNNNNNNNNNNNNNNNNNNNNNNNNNNNNNNNNNNNNNNNNNNNNNNNNNNNNNNNNNNNNNNNNNNNNNNNNNNNNNNNNNNNNNNNNNNNNNNNNNNNNNNNNNNNNNNNNNNNNNNNNNNNNNNNNNNNNNNNNNNNNNNNNNNNNNNNNNNNNNNNNNNNNNNNNNNNNNNNNNNNNNNNNNNNNNNNNNNNNNNNNNNNNNNNNNNNNNNNNNNNNNNNNNNNNNNNNNNNNNNNNNNNNNNNNNNNNNNNNNNNNNNNNNNNNNNNNNNNNNNNNNNNNNNNNNNNNNNNNNNNNNNNNNNNNNNNNNNNNNNNNNNNNNNNNNNNNNNNNNNNNNNNNNNNNNNNNNNNGAGCACAAAGUCGCCCCCCGCGCCCCCAGUGUCAAGCUACAGUAAUCUCCCCCUAAUGGUGCCAUGUCAUCACAUUACUGCUGCUAAUCCUCACUUGAUCCCAAUCACAAUUCAAAUUCAAAUCCAAAUUUAAAGUCGAAUAAUUAGAUUUCCCAAACAUGAAAACUAAAAUGUUCAAAGUGUUGCAAAUAAUCCAUAACUAAUUACGAUGGUGAACCAAUAUUUUUAUAAAGUGUUUAAAUGCCUUAUAAUAAUUAAAAAGUGGCUUAAAUGAUAAAUUAAAUGCUUUUUAAAUUAUAAAAAUACUAAUAUAUUUUUAUCUAGGUGCCAAACUUUUGUGGCAGUAGCCUAAGUCAAAAUAUUAAUUUAGGUGCAAGUGUUAUAUUUUGCAAAACUAAAUUUGUUUUAAAAAGAAAUAGAAAACAAAAUCAAAUAAAAGAAAAUUUUAAAAGGAAAACAGAAAUGGAAAAAGAAUAGAAAAAGGGGGCCACACGACACUGUGCGCGCGGCCCAGCCGCGGUAACAAUGCCCUGGCCCAGCCCACUCGCGCCUCGUCGUCCUCCCCUGUUCACCCCGCGCGGUGGUAGUCCGAGGCGCGUCCGUGGCUGCGGAUGGCCACGUGCAGGACAUCCGGCGGCUCCCCGGCGACCUCAAGACGACGGCCACCCUCCCUGGCAACCUAACCCUAGACGCCCCCGAGUUCUCCCCUCUCGCCCAGAUCACCUUUCCCCGCGCACCUCCGACGCCACUGCCGUCGUCGCCCUCGCGGCCACCGUCCUCCCCACGCCCCGCCCCGCCCGACGUGCCCGUUAGCUUUCACCGCCAUCCCCUACACCACCUGCCACCCCGAGUUGGAGCUCGGAGCCCCUGCAGUAGCCGGGACGACCUCAUGUUCCUCCUCGGCCACCUCGGAUUGCCGCCGCUCGUUAGUCGUCAUCGAGCCUUCCCCGCGCCCGCUUAGCAUGUCUGCAGGCCUCCUGUGAGCAUCUUUCCCCUUCCCCUCACUCCACGCGCUCGAUUGCGAGCUCUAGCAACCGAUCCGCCGUCGACCGAAAUGCUCCGCCGCACGCGCUCAUCUCCGACAAGGCUCCGGUGGUCCAUUGGUCCCGUGUGUGCCUCCAUUCGCUUACUGACCUCGAGUAGGUGCCGAACACCGGUCAUUUUGCCCUCUGCAACGUUGUUCCCGAGCUCGAGCGAACUCCGGCAUCCGCCGCGGUUGAAAAGAGGAAUUCUUAAAAGUAUUUUGGAACAUCGAUUUUUUUGUCCAGACCUCCAUAAAUGUGUUUUUCAUCAUGAAACUUUGCAUGUUGGCAAAACAUUCGACAACCUUUAUCACAAAAUAAAAUAGAUUUUUUUGAAAUCGUUUUAUAUUUUCAUAAUUUUCUGUUCAUAUGAACCUGGGAUCAGAACAACAACACUUGCGGUCUUCUUUCGCUUUUCAUUUUAUAUAUAAGCAUUGGGAUUGCAUUCCAUGUUUUAAUUCCAAGUUAUCUAACUUACAUCCACCUUGGAUACGGAAGCAUGAACUUAAAACAAAACAAGCUCAGAGACGUUAAGACUAGUCCGGGGCCAUAUAGGCAAAUAAGUUUUCCGAGAGAUCAAUGAAGCACUUAUUUUCUAAGAAAUGUAAAUUUAGUAUAAGUAUGUAUUUUUCCCACAAAAAAGUACUAAUAUGUACUACUCCCUUCGUUCUUAAAUAUUUAUCUUUUUAGAUACUAGCACAUAUGCCCGUGCGUUGCAACGGGAGAUGUACUUGACGUGUUCAUCAAAAAGUUUAAUAUCACGCUACGACAACAUUCAGGCGAUCCAACCCGGCGGCAGCAAAGAGGCGGAGGCCAAGGUUUAGCACAAAUAUAUACCAGCCUCACAUUAAGAAUCAUAUAUACGAUACUUUGUGUUAUGAUUUGUGUAUGACAAGUCCAAUCAUAUUAUCCAUAAUAAUCAAAAUGUAGCAGAACCAUUAGAUUAUUUAAGGGUCGUACUCGCUCCAUCUUGCAUGCUUCGUUGGGCGUUAAUUCCUUCACUCCUCGCAAUUUUCUUCUUCUUAAUAGUUAUUACUCCCUCCGUUCCUAAAUGUAAGUCUUUGUAGAGAUUCCACUAUAAACCGCAUACGGAUGUAUAUAGAUGCAUUUUAAGUUUAGAUUCAUUCAUUUUGCUUCGUACGUAGUCCACCUAGUGGAAUCUCUACAAAGACUUAUAUUUAGGAACGGAGGGAGUAUAUUAUAGCACACUCAUGCGUUGUAACGCAAGAUAAACUGGCAUAUACUCAAAUUUAUGCGCUCGCGAGGGAUGAGGCUUCCCUGACGUACUGCAUGGUGCAGUUGGCCCACUGACUGGUAGGCCCGGCAGCAGUUUGGCCCACAUGUCAAUGACCUGACUGACCCUACAGUACAUCAGGAGAGCUGAGUCCGCUCGCGAGACUUUUGAAAUGUCGUCUCCUUGAAUUAUCCUUUAAUUAUGUUGAAACAGAAGCUAUGUCGUCCCCUAUUGCAACGCAUUAUAGUAACAAAUGUACCCGUGCCUUGCAAUGAGGGAAACAAAAGCUUGAAUGUCCGUAUCAUCCAUGUUAUCAAUUCUAAGCUUUGGUACCAUCACAAAUGGUGGCCAACUUAUCCAUCUAUUCAACACCGGUCUCUGUUAUACUUGAUCCAUGCAUUGUCCGAACUAAAUCACCAAUUACCGUGAGUAGUUAAACGGCUCAACUUAUAAAUAGUGAAGGAAGUCAAGGCCCUCCUGGUGAAUGGAUGAUGAACCUUGUUAAGAUUCGUCAUAGUAAAAAAUUUGCUAGCCACGUUAAGGCUGUAGCAGGUAGACAACGCAUGGCCUAUUGGUUGUGAAUUUUUGAAUUCUUCUUUGAAUGUUACGAAAGUUAUACAACAAUGUGACCAGUUGAUAAAAUUCUAGUUUCCACACGAAACCCGAAAACUUUGCGAGCGCGAAUGUGAUCUCCAUGCUAGGUAUGUGAUUGACACAACGAGCGAGAUGGGGUGCCUGGUAUCAGAUAAGUCAUCCGUAGCCAUCCAUUAUUCUGACCUCUAUCUCGAUGGUGUCAGCCCGAACGGGCGGAGCCCGACCGUAGUUGAAACAGGUGUCCUGCACCACGGUCUCUUUGACAUCCAACGUGAUAGAGUUGGAUAGUAGACACCCGCAAUUUUUUGUCAAAAGAGUUGAGUCCAUAUGUAUUAUAUGUGUCUUUUUUGGGGGAAAUUAUAUGUAUUUUAUCAAUAAUAUGCAAAUAAACCAACAAAAUUUUAUUUGCUCGAGAAGUGGUCCGAGAAUUAACAUAAUCGGAAUAUUCUUUAGUCAGUAUGAUAUGAGAAAAUCAAGUACCGUCGAGUGAAAAAUCACACAAUCUCUACUACUAUUAAACAAGCAAACAUAUUCAUCGCUAAGUACACCCAGCCUAACGUACACAUAACAAACGAAGCGGUUACAGCCUCACAAUCAGAACCAUUUUAAUUUGAUCUAACCAUUAAAUUAUACUAACCCUCAACGAGAAUUGCAUUUAGCAAUUUGCGUAAGCGGACGAAAACUCUGCCGAACCAACGUUCUGCGCUCCACACCAAUACAUCGCUUCGCUAAUCCAAGGAAAAAAAACACAACCUGAUUUGCAAACAGAUACUACCUGAUUGCAUGCUAGCGAUGCGGGGCGGCGGCGACGGCUCGAUGCAGGGAGGCGUGGGCUCCGGCGGAGUUAAUUGCAAGGCACUACCACACUUCGGCACGUUGUGACGAAUCAGUACCAGUAGUCAUUUUUUUGCCAUGUAAUGCCAACUCUAAGCCUAAGUGUUGCAAAACGGUCUGACAGCCGUAUAAGCUCGUAUUGACCACAUAUCUGACCGAUCGGGCCCACUUGUCAGGUGCCACGGUGGCCUACCCGCGCGCACCCGCACCCGCGCGGUCACUCGUCCCAGCCUGCUCGGUCGCACCAAGUAGCUUGGUCCGGUCCGGUCGAACCCGUACGCGACGAACCCUGGUUUCCUCUUCCUCCCCCCGCCCUCGUCUUCCUCUCCCCUCUCAGGCGAUGGCGGCGGCGACUCCCGGCGGCGUCGACGGCGCGGGCGGGUACGGGGACCUUCCUGGCCUCGCCCCGAUGACCACUUAGGUCUGGACGACGUCGACGGCUCCAAUUCAUACUACUCCAGCGCAGACGACGAGGAUUUGGAGGAGGAGGCCGCGCUGUCAAUGGAGGACAGGGUGAAGCUGGCAGAGAUAUGGGUGGCCCACCCUACCAGUAGCCAUCAGUGGACCAGUGGAGCUGCUGGCGGCGUGCUGUAAGUCGUUCUCUUCUCUGCUUCUGCUUCUUUCUGUAUAUUCCAAAACAGGGUGCUAGGGUUAGUGUUGCUCAUGACAGUAUAAAUUUGUGCUGUCAAUUGUAGUUUGGAUGAUGCUGUUUGGGAUGUUCGGAUUCAUUUUGAUGCACAACACAAUCUGGAUAGGAAGAUAUGCAGUUCAGAUGUUACAUUUCUGAAUUUAUAUGCACUGAUGCACACACAAGGUUAUUCUUUCUCUGAUGAACUGUAUCACAUGAAGAAUUUAGGCAGAGGAGAGGAAAGAGAGCAUGGGUUAGAGUUAAUUGACACAAACAUCAAACUGCAGCAACUUAAGAAGGAAUAUGAGCAUAGUUUAGUUCUGAAUUUGCUAGUGAAGGCAACAUCACCUUUUGUAUGUCAGAUAGAAGCAGAUUUAGUGAGAUCAAACUACAGCAAUAUCUGUCAGAGGAGAGAAGAAAAUUUAGCAACUAUAUUGUAUAGACCACCUGUUGUGUAUGAUCUUAGUGAGCCUGCAGUUCUUGCUGUUGAUCAACAAGGUGUUGUUUUUCAUAGUCAGUGCACACAAGAGAGCAUAAAUUUCAGUAAGGAGAAGCUCAAAGCUGUAAUGGAAGAAGAGGCAGUGCUAGAGGAGGGACAUAAUAACAGUGAUGACUCUGAGGCUGCUGCAUAUGACAGUGAUAACAAUCCUUUCUGCAUGGAGAAGUACAGGAUAAUUGAAGACACAGAGAUAAUUGAGGGGAAUAGACUAGCAGAGCAAGAAGUUGAAGAUGAAGAUUCAGAUGAAGAUGAUGAGGAUUCAGAAGAGGAACAAUUACAUUAUGAGGGUGACACUGAGGUUGAGGACUUGUUUAAGAUGGAGGAGGAGGAGGAGCAGGAGAAGGAGAAAGAGGAUGAGGUCAAUGUUGUUGCAACAGAAGAAGCACCAAUGCAAAAACCUCCAAAAAAGAGGAAGAAGCUGGCAGUUAGGAGGGCCCUACUACUAGGACACAUUCAAGUGUGUUGGCGGAGGUGCAACCUGAUUUCAUUCCUUCAUCAGAUGAAGAAGAUGAUGGGUUGCUGUUUGAGGAUGAUGAUGAUGGACAUGAGCCAAUGUCCUUUGUUCUACCUAAAGGGAGGAAGAGUAAGGCCAAGAAAAGGAAACCAAGGAUCUGGUACAAUGAAAAACUUGAGCAACCACAUCAGCAGUUAUGUCUGUACAUGUGCUUCAAGAAUCAGCAUCAAUUCAGAGAUGCUUUCUUGAGCUUGCACAUCACACAGGCCAGAGACUUCAGGUAUCACAGGAAUUCAGACCAAAGGAUCAUUGCUUGUUGUAAGCAAGAGCACUGCCAGUUUUGCAUAGUUGCUGCAGUUAUCAAAGGGGAGAAGACUUUUGCUAUUAAGAAAAUGAGGCUGGAGCACACUUGCCCUAGCAGCACUGAGUCAUCAAGGAUCAGUGCCAAGUGGCUUGCAAAGACCUAUGAGUCAUUGUUCAGGUCUGAUCCAACCACCAGCAUACACACUCUAAUUGAUAACUGCAAUGAGAAGUAUGGUGUUGAUGUGCCAAGGCACAUGGCCUAUAGGGCCAAAAACCUUGCUGUAGAAGCUGUGCUAGGAGAGCACAAGAUUCAGUAUCCCGGACUUAGGGAUUAUGCUCAGACCAUCAUGGAUACAAACCCUGGUAGUAGAGUUAUAGUUGCAACAGUUACUCCAAGACCAACUACAAAAAUACCACAUCCAGGACCAAGGUUUCAUGCUAUGUUCUUCUGCAUAAAUGGAGCAAGGGAGGGAUUUCUCAAUGGAUGCAGACCAUUCAUUGGUUAGUAAUGCUUUAUACUUCUUUCUCAAUGGAUGUAGUGGUGCUUUAUAGUUCUUAAUACUUAAAUAUAUAGUUUAGUAAUGCUUUGUAGAAGUUUAAAUUGUUCUUUGGUUGCAACAACAGGUGUUGAUGGAUGCUUUAUUAAGCUCACCACCGGUGCUCAAAUCCUAGCUGCCACUGGAAGAGAUGGGAAUAAUAAUAUUUUCCCACUUGCAUUUGCUGUUGUUGGACAAGAGGACACAGCUAACUGGUGUUGGUUUCUACACCAACUGAAGAUAUGUCUAGGAGGAGAAGUUGGCAAAUUUGGGCCUUAUACUAUCAUGUCUGAUAGACAGAAGGUAUGCAUGCAUCUUUCUGUUAUGUUAUUGCUUUUGUGUUCUUCUGCAUUAGCACGUUAUGUUCUAGAUGUAAUAGUACAUCAGCUAAGUCUAGCAUGCUAUGUGAACAGGGGUUACUAAAUGCAGUAAACCAAGUUUUUCCAAACUGUCAUCAAAGAUUUUGCCUUAGACACCUCUAUGCAAAUUUCCAGAAUGCUGGGUUUAGGGGGGAAGAUCUUAAGAAAUGCAUGGAUAAUGCCAGCUAUGCUUACAACCAGCACAAGUUUAACAUUGCCAUGAAUGACUUGAAAAAUGAUAGUGAGGAAGCUUGGAAGUGGCUAAGUGGAAUACCUAAGCACACAUGGGCUAGGCAUGCUUUUGACACUAACUGCAAGAUAGACUUGGUUGUUAACAACCUGUCUGAGGUGUUCAACAAGUACAUCCUAGAUUUUAGGAAAAAACCUAUUAGGACUAUGAUUGAUGGUAUCAAGGAUAAGCAGAUGGUGAGGUGGCAUAAUAACAGAGAGAGGGGAGAGGCAUCUUUGUGGGAGAUCACACCACAUUAUGCUGAGAAGCUUGAGGUGGAAAAGGAAAGGGCCAGAUUCUGCAAACCUAUUCAAGCUGGUGUAAAUCUUUGGCAAGUGACCAGUGGGCAACAAACACAUGCUGUAAACUUGGAACUCUAUACAUGUGGCUGCAGAAAGUGGGACCUGUCUGGCAUACCAUGCAACCAUGCAAUAUCAGCAAUUAACAAGGCAAAAAGAUUUCCAGAGAACUAUGUCUGCAAAUUCUUCAAAAAACCUUUUUACCUUGCUGCAUAUGAACCAAUGAUAUAUCCAGUUCCUGGUGAACAUGAUUGGACAAGGACAAGUGGACCAGACAUAGAGCCACCCAAAUUUCAUGUGAAGAAGGGAAGAAGGAAAGAGAAGAGAAUAAAGGGCAAAUUUGAGGUUCCAAAACCCAAGGACAGUUCAAGAAUGGCCACUAUAACAUGCAGCAACUGUGGGCUCCAAGGCCAUAGGUACACCAACUGCAAGCAACAGUUGAGACCAGAGUUGGCUUUGAGGAAAAACAAGCAUGUGGUAAACCCUUGUGAAUUGUACUUGCUAUUUGGUCUUCUUUCCUUCUAUGUUUUUUGUGCUAAACCUAAACCCUAAACUAUCAUGUUUCCUUGUAUGUUUGCAAGGCACUUGCAAGAUCAAGGAAUGAAGAUACUCCAUCAGGAUCACAGCAGCCACCAGCAAGGUCUGCUUCUGCAAGAACUACUUCUGCAAGAUCUGCUAGUGCAAGAUCUGCUACUGCAAGAUCUGCUAGUGCUAGAUCUGCUACUGAUAGAUCUGCUUCAAGAACUGCUAGAGGGUCAGCUAGUGCAAGCGCAAGAUUUGCAAGGCCUUUCACUGCCCCAAGAUUUGCUGAAGGAGCUUCAUCUUCUGGUCCUUCUACUUCUGGUGCUCCUUCAAGUGCCACAGGGAAUUAUACUCGUUUGAUGUCAUACUUUACUGCCAGUGGUAACUUAUGAGUGAUAGAAUGUUGCUACUUUAGUCUGAGUGGUGCUACAAAACUGAUGUAUGUUCUAAUGGAUUGCUAAGUUGAGUCUUAUGUGAACUGCAAUAUUUGGUCAUUUGGCACUUGUGAACAACUCAAUGCUUUUUGUGUUGUUCAUUUGGCAUUUCUGAAACAACAACUCAAUGCUCAUUUGGCUUUUGUGAACAACUCAAUGCACAUGUGUCAAGAAACCAUGCAUGUACUGGAUGAUACUGCCACAAUGGCCACAUACUUCAUUACUAAGAUGAACAUACCAAAUAUUGUUUACAAAGACACUAACUAGUAACACCUGACACUAACUUGCAACACCUGACACUAACUUGCAAAGAUCAACCUGACCACAACUGACACUAACUUGCAUCUCUCCUUAACAAGGAUCAACCUGACCACAACUGACCACUACUAGCAUCUUCAGUGCCAAAACAAGCUUGAGUCUAAACCACUGACACUAACUGCAGCAGCAUCUUACUGCACCAGCAUCUAGCUCUGCAGCAGCAUCUUGGCUGUCACCAAACCUACCACAAAGACAAGAAAAAGAAAGACAACAUUCUGAUAUUUGGCCUUCAGUGCAUCUAGCUCUGCAUUUUUCUCCCUGAGCUGAUCUUCCAAAGCCACCACCUCUCUUCCUCUUUGAGCUUCAGGCAGAGCCACAACUGCACUGUCAUCUUCAAACACACCAACAAAUAGCAUACAUACUGGAGUUCAACAUAACCAUAGAUUCUUACAGCCAUAAUUACUAGAUUCUUACAACAUUAGCUAAAGACCAUAGCAUAGUGGAGUUCAACAUUGUUCACAACUACUACAUCCAUACAUUACACUUAACUAAACCACCCUUCACAAAAGAUUAGCAAAGCCUUCUAUCAAAGCAACUUAUAUCAUGAUAGGUAUGCUCUGCUUCAUCUACCCAGAUCAUCUUCAUCUACCUCAUUCCUUCAAGAUGUCAUGGAUCAACUUCAACUUCUCUUUGCUCUUCUCCAGUGACUUCAACUGAACAACAAGCUGGAGCUUUACCUCAUCCCUGCGUUUUAUCAGAUUCUCAUGUCCCCUCUUGAGAUCAGACAUGUGAAGGUUCAACUGCACAUUCUCUUCUGUGACUUUUUCCAAAGACUUGGUGAGCUCAUCAACUUGGAUCUUUAAAUUGUUGUUGCCUUCAGCUAGCUUUUCCUUCUCUUUCAAAUGAUUCAUCUUCAUGUUCCUAAUGACAGCGCCUUGAGCUUCUACUAGGUUCAUCAGCACUUUGUACUUCUCUUUCAUCUUGAAGUUCUCUGCCUCUUUCUUCUCCAUCUCAUUCUUCAUGGCAGCCACAACUGAUGCACUGGCUCUCUCAUCUCUCUUCUCCUUAGCUUACACAGAGCUGAAAUCCAACACCCUGUCCUCCUGGACACUGAGAAGUUGAUGGACAUCUUCAACUAGUUUGUCAUAGUUGGCAUCCAGAUUCCUUUUCUCUUCUUUAAGGUGGUGGAUAGUAAGUGAACUUUCCAGGUUAUCCUUCCUCCUAGCAGUCCUGCUGUCUUCAAACAUUUCCCAAAGCUUCAACAAUGCAUUUUGCAUUGUGGGAGGCCACUCUGGGUCAACCCAAGCAAGGAAACCACAAUUGACAACUUCCUGCAAUAUAGCAAACACUUAUAUUGUUACUCUCUGAAGAACUACCAUUAUGAAAGGGCACUUUUAAAAAAUGAACUAACAACUGUAGAACUACAACCUAUACAUGUGGCCAACUAAACAAUGCUACUUCAACUGCAACCUAUACUGCCUCAAUUAAAAUUUAGCAACUACACUGCAUCAAUCAACUAACAAUUUGCUUCAUCAUCAGUACCAGUGAACAUAGCCAACUAAGCUGCUGCCCAUAUACAUAUUACAGUGAACAUAAGCAUCAAAACCAUAAUCAUCAGAACUACUAAUAAAUAACUAAACCAUAAAUAUAUUACAGUGAACAUAGCCAACUAAGCUAUUGCAGUGAGCAUCAGUACUAGAAGCAUCAAAACUACUAAGUGGUAAACUAUGUGCUUCAUCAUCAGUACUAGUAACUAUAUUACAACUAUAUUACAGUGAACAUAAAGAGAGCAUGAAUCUUACAGGCUGAGCACAAACUAGAAACCUCCUGCCCGUCUCAAAUGAUUCAAAAGCUACACGGCGCUCAGUUGGCAGCCGAUGCUCCACGCAGAGCCCCUCUGGUGCAUUCUCCAAGCCAUUGUAGUCUUGGUCUUCAAUGCUAGCAGGAAUCUACAGAGAGCAAAUCCUCAAAUCAGAAAACCAGAUCAUCAAAUCCGCAAAUCCCCAAAUCACCUAAUCCUAACCCUAGCUCUACCACUGACCUGAUAAUGCAUCCCGUCGUCGGAGGAGGAGAUCUGCAGGGUGGACAAGUCGUCGCUGCGCUCAUCCUCGAAGACCAUGGCGCGGCGGCAGUGGCGGACGCGGCGGUCUGCGCGGCGAGCGGCGGCUGGAGAGACAAGGGCGAUGAGGCGAGGAGAGGGACAGAGUGCGGCUGGCUCCGGUUGGGUUCGACCGGACCCGGCUACAUGGAGCGACCGAGACGGGUGCGAGAGUUAUCGAGCGGGUGCGCGCGGGUAGGCCACCGUGGCACCUGACAAGUGGGCCCGGUCGGUCAGAUACGUGGUCAAUACGAGCUUAUACGGCUGUCAGACCGUUUUGCAACACUUAGGCUUAGAGUUGGCACUGCAUGGCAAAAAAAUGACUAGUGGUACUGAUUCGUCACAACGUGCCGAAGUGUGGUAGUGCCUUGCAAUUAACUCGCUCCGGCGGGACUGGCGUGGAUCUGGCGGAUGGCAGCCGGAUCGGAUCGACGACGUGCGGCUCCGGCGAGUCGGAAGGGCGGCGCCGGCGGCUGAGCUCCUCCAUGGACUGCUGCAGUUCCAGGGAGUUAGAGCUUCGAAGGCCCAGCUUUUUGAUUCGGAGCCCCUUCUUCUGGCCUCUUGAGCACCGAUCCCGUCAUCGUUCCUCUUCUUAGACCCCCUUGACGUCCUGCUGCUGCGGUCUCCACACCGUCCCAGUCUUGGCCCGGCCACCGGGUCUCCUCCCUCUGACCCUCUCUCUAAGGUAUGCACGAGCAGCUAGGUUGUGUGAUUGCUUCUUCACAACAUCAAUUCUCCUCCUUGCUAAUUCAAUCGGUCAAUCCCACAAGGGUGGUGAUGGGACCUUCACAAUUUCUGGGCCAGAUCCGCCCUGGGUAUAGUGUCCAUGGCACGAUCAUACAUGCUGUUGUGUUCCUGGAUUCCAUCUUGAGAAUGAUUUGUGUAUGAUUUGCUAUCUUCAUCUUGCGUCGUUACAAAUUUCGGUUGCUUUUGCAAAGAAUGAUGCGUCAUAGCUUGGUGCCUUUUACGAAUUUCAGUAUUUGUUUAGAUCGUACUGUAUAAAGUAUUGAUUUCUUCGCGGCUAGCAACUCCAUUAAUUAGUGUGUUAAAAAUCUUCUCAUCAUUUGAUAGGUAGAUUCUGACUGCUGCUCUUCGUAGGUUUUGAAAGGGAGAAGAGAGGUUGAACCAUGGGGAAGGGGGAAGAGGAAGGCAGCCGCUAAGCCACCCACUAGGAAGCGGAUGGACAAGCUCGAUAUGGUCUUUUCCUGCCCAUUCUGCAAUGAUAGGAGCAGCGUUGAAUGCCGGAUGUUAGUACCAUCUUCACGUAUUUUUCCUGUCAGUUGGUUGAUACUGAAUGGCUAUCUAUCAAUUCAACAUUGUGUCUGGCCUUCUUUUGUCUUCAGUGAUAUGGAAACCUGAUUGGUGAGGCUAAUUGUGAAAUCUGACAGGAAAGCUUCAGCAGCCAGCACCACUGCAAAUGGUAUGUCCAAAUCAUACAUAAAACUGCAGAUUGUACCUCCUAUAACAUAGACGUAGAUGCCAUAGAUGCCAUACUGAUUGGCUCUCAACUAGAAAAUUAUGCACCGGGCAUCUCAUUUGGUUUUGUUCCUUCUCAACCUAAUGAUUGCAACUCCGGGACAGGGUAUAGCUUAUGUAUACAUUUUGUACAGCCAUGCCCAUUUCAUAUACUCUUGGGGGUUUAAUCACUCUAAUCAACUAUUAUAAUAGAGCAUAGCUGAGGUAGUAAAUCAUGCAGGGUUAUAUGCAGACACAGUUUCCAUUAAAUGAUGUCUGUACGACAGGCGGCUUCGGCUAGUCGGACGGACAACGGCGGCGGCUGAGCUUCUCCAUGGCCUGCUGCAGUUCCUAGGAGAGAGAGCUUCGAAGGUGAGGAGAUAUAGAUGAACAGAAGGGAGAGGAGGAAGGGCAGGGGCGUGGCGGCCUUGACGGUGAACCUCGGGUUGCGACGGUCUCCAGCGAGAGGCGGCGUGGGGUGGCGGCGCGAGCCUACGGAGCGGCGGCGGCUUGGAGCUGCGGGAGCUCGGGCGUUUGGAUGCGUUUGGAUCGCAGGCCUAAGGUUAUGCAUAUUGGGUAUGUUUUGAUCGCUAUCAAACCUGUCCAUACAAAAUAUUGCCAUGAUUUAUCCUGCUGUUGGCUAGAUCUGAAGUACUCCCUCCGUUCACAAAUAUAAGAUGUUCUAACUUUUUUGUGAAUCGGAUGUAUGUACGCAUAUAGGAUAUUUAUUAUAGAAGAAACAAAAGCAUAUUGGAUCCCUGUAGGUAGAACUAUAAGAAGAGGACUGGUCCUCUAAUCAUUAUAGGCCUUCAACGCCAAUUUAGGAAUUAGGACACACAUGUUAUGUUUUGUUACCAGCUCAUGGAGUUAAUUCCGAAAGUCUACAAUCCGCAUGGUAUACAAUAAUCAUCAGCUUAGUCGCUCAUGUGUGCCAUCGUUGAGCUUGUGAUGUCAUGGUAAGAGAUUUAGUACCAUCUAUAUUUUCUAUAGUUAUUUUAAUCUUUCAUCGAGAUGGACGAGGGUGAUAAACAAUUUUUGAUAUUAUGGUUCCCAUUUUUGCAUAUUGCUUGGCUCUCGACUUAGUGCUUAUCAAUCAAAAGUUGAAUGCUUGGUGAUGUGACCUUCCAUUUAGAUUUCAAUUAUGUGCAACAGUAAAAGAUGCUACACUUGUAAUAUAGAGCGAAUGUAGAGAAAACAUUUAUACAGAUGUAUUAGUUAUGACUUGUUAUAAAUAUGCCCCACCACCUAUGUAAUUCAAAACUUUUAUACCUACCAGUCCUCUUUUAUGCGGGUUUCCACUUUAAGAAAUGAUUUUAAAAUCCGACUCAAUAGAAAUGAGAAAAUAUGCAAACAAAAGCAUAUAGGAUAUUUGUUAUAUUAUGUAUUCCUAGGUUAGAUUCAUUAUCUACAACAUGUUUCCGAUGUAGCGGCAGUUUCAUUGUUUCUGAUUAUAGGCCUCAGAUGUAGAUAUAUAGGUAAUCAUUCUUCACCUGUAACGACUGAAGUGUGAAUUCCACAUUGUCUUCCCUUUUUUAUAAAUUGGUUUCUGAACGUAAUUAUUGCCUUCCAUUUGUCCAAAAUUGGAAGUAUAUACAGAAGAUCAGAAAUCAUGGCAUGGUUCCUUGCCUGCUUAUGUGUACUGUAAUUAUUUUUGACAAUCUGAUGUGUUCACGCAUCAUUACAAGAUUCUUUAAAACUACCUUUGUAGAAUAUUUCAAACCCUGGUCUAGGAGUAUGCAGCCAACCAUGCUUUCAAACCAAUAGAGAAUGUGAGAGAAAAUAUGUUGCUCGAUACUGGUGAGGAUAGUGCACUAUUUUGCUCGAUAUUGAAGCAUCAGAUCAUUCUUGUUCUAUGCAACAACUAAGACUAUUUUUUGCCACUACAGCCAUGAAACUUCAACCAAUACAUAUGUGCUCGAGUUGCUUUGCAACACAUAAUGACCAUUCAAUGUUUGCAGCAGGUGGUCGCUUUCAUGGUUGGAGUGAGCAGCUUGGCCAGGUACCAUGCGCAACAAUCCCACGGACAGGGCCGGAUCUGGGCCUAUGCGGCCUGGUGCGGCGGCCAGGGGCCCAUAUCUAAAGGGGGCCAUAAUUUUGUAUACCCUUAUAUAUAUAUAUAUAUAUAUAUAUAUAUAUAUAUAUAUAUAUAUUACUAUACAUCUAAAAAAAUAGAAGCCUUGGCCCGGCCGGCCGGCCCAGCAGUCCAGCACGUAGGCGCUCGACGCCUCGACAGGAGCGGAGAUCGCGACGGAUCGCGAGUCGCGACGAGUCGACUCCUCGAGGCUGGACUGGUCCUCGUAUCCAGAGUCCAGACUCCAGCGUCAUCGGUCAUCUUCGCCGAGUCGCUGAUCGGCGAUCGCCUCCAGCCUCCGAAUCUCCGAUCCAGGAUUCGAUCGCCAGGGCCUGCGCUUGCCUCUGGGCUCUGGCUCCUAAGUCCUAUCGCCCCUGUCUCCGACACUCCGAGGCCCCGAUGAUCGCUCCGGUGUCUCCGAAUCUCUGAUCGCCCUUCUCUGGUAUAGUUAAUAUGGGGCUUUUUUUCCUAUCUUUUUUCUUUAGAUGACGCGUAUAAUAGUAACAGGAGAGCUCAAUGUUUAAUUCUUUAUGUAAUGUUGUUGAUUACUUCAUAAUUUUAGGUGAUAUGGCACCGAAACAUAAAUCCGGUUGUGCGAAAAGGAAUAAAAGAAAAAGGGAUCUUGCACUUGCUGAAUCACAAAAAGGGGCUCUAAAAAUGUAUUUUCCGGCAACAAGUAGUGUUGAUGUCAAUAAUGAUAAUCAAAUUGAAGAAUCUGAACAUGAUCAAGAUGAUGAUCAUAAUUCAAAUGUUGAUCAUGAGGUCAAUGAACAGUCCUCGGGCCAGGGUAAGUAAUUAAAUACCUUCAAUUUUUUGCAGAAGUAAGUUAGUAACUAAUUAUAAUUUCUUAAAUUUAAAUGUAGGUCUUGAUGUUAAUAAGGACAAUACGGAAUCUACCACCCUUCAUGGCUGCCAGAGCUGGUGUAGUGUGGCGAAGAUGUCGUCAAUUGUGGCGACACAAAUGGUGAGCGACCAAUAAAAAGAAGUAAGAUUGCCGUUGAUGUUCUUGUGCAGGAGUGCUCCGAUUAUUGAUCAAGGGAGCAUUGGUCUGAUUUAAGAGGAGAUUAGUAGCUUAUUUUGUUCACAUAUGUUUAAGAGGGGACCGAGAAAAUUUCUUGCUAAGCUUAUAACAGUGUUGCACGGGCAAACUUUUGCCAUGAAGAAAUAUAACUAGAAACACGGUGUUUUUGAUUGGGAAUGGAUGUAUCUUCAAAAAGAGCUUUAGCCAAGACGUGCGUUGCACGUGCAAGCUUACUAGUACUGAUUAAUUUACUAAAUUAAUGACGUCAUCAUGUUCCAGGAAUCCGAUUAAUUAGUGGACUCAAUUAAUUCUGAUCUAAUUGGCCACAAGAGCGGCGUGUGGCCGUUGUCCAUCAGCCGAUUUAAUCGCAUGAUUUUCUCACGCUAAUCCCUCCAUGAAUGGCCGAUUUAAUCGCAUCAUUCUUUCCCAAUAAUUCCUCCAAAAUUGGCGUGGCUUCAGCCAAUUUAAUCCCAUAAUUUUCUCCCAGUAAUCCCUCCAUGAUUUAAUCAGCACGGCUUCACCAAUUUAAUCCCAUAAUUUUCUCCCACUAAUCCCUCCAUGAUUUGAUCAGCAUGGCUUCAGCCAAGUUCUUUCCCACUAUUUCCUCCGUGAAUGCCCGGAUCUCUCUCCGUGUCUUUCACUUAAUUUCGGCCCACUCAUUACCCUCUCCUUAUUAAUCUCAAGGCGCUUAUUGAUUUCAACUUGUACUCAUAUAUAAAUUGGUGAAAUUAUAUGCAAAGACGCGAGGUGGUACUAUACAAUACAAACGAAAUCUCUUUUAUUUAUACAAGCCUUAUUUAGAUCAGUUGGAUCUACGUGAGAAAAACUGUUGGCAGAUGGUGAGUUCGAUCCCUGAAAGCAUUAACUAUUUUUUGCCGGAUUCAUUGGUGGGCCACAACGCAUGCCGCUGUCGGACGGCCAGAGGCCCAACCGGGUCCAUGUACGCGAGACAGAGAGAAUAAAAGGCUGAACUGUUUUUUCCGACGUACAAAAAUCCUGUAACGACGGACGGACGAAAAUCUCAUAAUGAACGGACCAAAAUUAGGGAGGAAGAAGCAAUAGCCUUUUUAUUAGUGUAGAUUCACUCAUUUUGCUCCGUGUGUAGUCACUUGUUGAAAUCUUUAGAAAAACAAAUAUUUAGGAACGGAGGGAGUAUUUGGCAGAAGCAUCGUCUAUGGCAACUGAAGAAGAAGAAGAAAAAAAAAGGAAGUGUGCGACAUGGCUGGUUGCUGCGGUAGGUACGCGUACUGCAGCCAUCCAUCCAACAAGAACAAGGUGGGCGAGCUGCUGUGCUGAGUGCAGUACGCAUAUAUCUUCGCACAUUAUACUACUACUACUACACUACUUGUAACGGAACAGGUGAGCGUUUGUGUACUCCAGUUGCACUGCGGCAGCCUCUUGCUAGUACUACUCAUGUACUACUAGUGUACUGCCAAGCGAGUGAAGAGUAGCAACUCACCUUUCUCUGCAUAUAUAUUGAUCUUCCCUGUGAUGUUGGUGGCAUGGCAUGGGCGUCGGCAGCAAUCAGCAUCAGGUGAGGUGGUGGACGAACAAGUGUGACAGAGAGGAGAUUUUGUGAUUUGAGAGGGCAGAGGAGACAGGGAUGGAGCAGAGCAAGGGAUGGGGCAAACAACAAACUUCAACUGCUUCCUUCCACUGAUCACCUCCUGAUUAUAUGACAAGAGCGAGAGAGUUGUGAGAGAUGAGAGCUUCUGUUAUUGUUGUUGUUGUUGCUCCCUCCCUGCACUGCCUCUUCCCUGUACUCGCUCCGUUCUAAAAUAGAUGACCCAACUUUAUACUAAAGCCAGUACAAAGUUGAGUCAUUUAUUUUGGAACGGAGGGAGUAACUCUCUUUCUCCCUCUCUUAUCAUUUUCUGACCCUGUUAUCGGCAGCUCCUGCUGUUUUGUUUGCUCUUCAGUUCUGCAGGCUCCUUUGUUUAUAAUCUUUACGUGCUUAUUACUCUAAUUUCGUUCAAACGGAUACUUCAAACUUGUUCACUGCUCAGAUACAGGGAGAAGGCAAGCUAAGGUUGUAUUACAAUGUUCCUCGUUGCACUCCAGCGUCCUCUUCCUCCAACACGCUUGUUGCCACAUGCCUCUUCGGUUUCGACAAUAAGAUACACAUCUUUGGAGGAGCGGCCAUGAUGCCAUAUGGAAACAUUGGAGGGACUAAUCGUCAGAGUUUUUCAUCAAACCUCCCUCGACACUUGAAGAUGUAUACGUAGCUUUUAAGAGUGCAUAAGUCGGUGACUGCUAGCAGAACAAGCAUCCAUGCAGUGAUUUUUCACUCGGUUUCUCUUGUACAUAAACUCUGUUUUUGUCUCUGCUGUUCAACAUUCAGCAAUGCGAAAUGAACGGCUGAAUUCAGACGUCCAUUCUACCGUGACAUUCACAUGGAGGGUGUUUCAUAUCAUCACCAAAAAACAAAAUAAAAAUCAUACCCAUAUCUGACAUAAUCUUGAUGAAACAAGAGGAAACCCAUGACACCGGCUGCUACCUUCAUCAAUCUUGACAGUAAAAAGGGAAAUUCCUUAACACUAUAUAGAAUAUCAGGGAUAUUUUAUUAUCCCAGGCUCCCAGCACAGGUGAUAAGUGGUAAGUACAAGACAGGCAAACAGACUGAAAGUGGAAGUUCGAUUCCUUCCUUUGCCAUGAAUGCGGGUGGUAUAGUUCUGAAGAUUGUGACUAUGUAGUUCAUAACUCGGAGGAAGCUGUAGCCAAUGUCAACGUGCAAGACAGGCAAAACCCUGACAAAACUUGAUUCCUGCCGUUCCACAGCAUGGAAACUACGUACAAUCCUAGAUGAAACACUGAAUCUCCUCCUAUAUAUUGCUAAAAAAUCUGCAAUGUGAUGGUUUCGAAGAGGCGGAUUUGCGGACACCGGAGGGGCCAGCAGGCUCACCACCUGCCGCGAGGGCGAGGUAGCACGCCUCACGCAGCAGGUUGCGGCGGAGCCUCCUCUUGCUUGCUGCUGCCGUCGUCGGGCGAGCGGACUGAACAGCUAGCGCCUUGACGACGACGCCGAAGCCGCCCUUCCCGAGCACGCGCGUCAGCUCGUGGUGCUCCCGAUGCGCCGUCUCCUGCGGGAUCCGGCGGCGUGGUCGUCGAUCAUGGCGCCAAUUGCGGCUUCAGCAGCGGCGACUCGCGAGCUGCUGGCGCGCGUCGGAGAGCAAGUUUUGGUGGCGCGCGCGCAACGGAUGGAGCGCGUUUGCCGCUGUUCAAUCGGAUUGCGGCCGACUCGACUGGAGCAAAACGCGCUUCCGAAUUCGAUCGGGAGUGGCGCUUUGCUCUGCUCGCGUCCGACUGGAGCACGGUCACCGCCUCGCCGGGAGAUAUAAGCUCCAUGGGGUGCUCCCUCGUGGUAGGCGAUCGCCAUCUUCCUUGCCCCCCAAUCUCUCCAUCCAAUCCUCCCUCUCCACUUCUCCAUCCACUCCAAAACCGAUCACAGGAGCUCGCGGCCGCCACCCAUGGCCGGGCAGAUGCUCCGCCGGUGGAACAGCUUCUACGGCGCCUUCGACCCCGUGGACGCCGCCAUCGAGGCCGCCGACCCAGACCAGUUCUCACGCCACGUGUUCCGGCGCGCGAGGGGCGACCUGGUGGGACGGCUCUGCAGCGCCGCCGACGACGCCCAGGCGGAGCGCAUCUGCGGGAUUCUCGACGACAUCAUGGCGGAGUCUCUCGAGACGCUGAGGCUGGUUCCAUCCACGCCGGGGGCGCCCAUCUCCGCGGAACUCGCCGACUCCGUGCGCGCGCUGCGGGAGCACGACUCGGAGCGCGUCCGCCUCCUCGCGCGCGGCAUCGUGAGCGGGUGGGAGGCCUCCGUCCAGGACGACGACGGCGCCAAGGUCACACCGGCCAUGCCGGUGAAGAAGCUACCGCAGCCCAAGGCGAGCGUCGGCCAGCAGCAGCAGCGGCGGCGUGUCUCCGCCGACCCUGACGCGAAGACGAAGCGACCUCCCAAGAUCGUCGGCGAGCCAUUGUCCAAGAAGACGGCUGAAAUCAUCAAAAAGGCGUCCGAUCCUGUCGACGGUGACCGCGCCGGGUUCUGCUCGGAGGACAAGAUUGAAGCCGCGAAGCGCAAGCUCCGGCAAGGUUACCAGGAAGCAGAGGACGCCAAACGGCGGCGCAGGACGCAGUUGGUGCAGGCGGCGCCCAAGAUGAUGCAGCGGAUCAGGAGGUGCACCAGCUCCAUGGUGAAGGAAACCUUGUCGAUCAGGACCACGCAGCUUCACAUUAGGUCUCUAGUCAAGAAAAUCCAUAUGUAAUCCUUCUUCUCGAAUCUCGAACAUGCCAUACUGCAGUUGCUCGUAGUAUGCAUGUUAUGUAUGUGAUCGAAAGAAGUUGAUAAAUUAAAGCGAGAUUUACUGUUACAAAUCUGCAAGGGAUUUCGAGAGAAAUUGCUCGUCAUGUUGGGGAAGAUGCAUGUGUUUGUGGCUAUUUACUGUAUAAUUCUGCACGCAACUGAGCAACCAACAAAGGCCUCCUUUUAAAAUUCAGUUUUCUUUAAAAUUUCGAGUUCUCGUGCCCAUGUUCAGACUUGCAGUCCAAGUUGCAACUUGAAUUCAAUCAAAAUUGAGAAAAUCCUCCUCUUUCUGUUUCACUUGGUAUAAAACUGCAUAUGUACGACAAACCAUGACAUGCAUCCACAAAAAGAUAAAUCUUUUCUGAGGUUUACAAGUUGGAUUGUACUCAACACAGAUUGGAUACAAAGCAGCAGCAACUAGAAUCUUGACUAGUGUAUUCCUAGUUUAAUCUGAGUGUCAAAUCACAAGAAUGCUUUCUUCAGUUUUUUUGUUGUUGCGAUGAAUGCUUUCUUCAGUUUACACCAAGGUAUUUCAAAGGAGAAAAGGCUAUGUUACAAAGAACAAAAUGCGAGCUAGCUCGAGUGGUGUCUUUUAUCUAGCAGUACUAUUUAGUAUUUACAGGUGUACAUGAUUCCCGUUUCCUUCAAAACCCUGAUUCGCUUUGUAUCCUCGGACCAAGAGAGCUGAUCAUCACACUCCAUUAUCACCAUUGAUAAACAAGGGCAGAGACCCCCCAAGCACCUCCAUACCCUUUCUAUCGCCAAAUGGUCCGCAAUACCUGAACUUCAAACUAGAGACGCAGUGUCCCACCAUAAUGUUGAGUGAUGGAAUCCUACAAGAAGGACCAAAUAGUUACUGGGAUGGGCUUUCACUUGAUCGGUUUGACAAGCAUGCACAUCUUGGUUUGCAACAAUUUCCCAACAAAUUCGUAUCUAAUAAUGGUUAAAUGGAUGUAUGAUUUACCCUUUUUUUGCUCGAACAGUACGCUUUACCUUUUCAAAAGAAGGAAACAUUUGUACAGCUCUUCAAUAUCAGAAUCAACUUUCAGGUGUAUAUACUCUGUAAGAACAGAGAGUCGCGAGAGUGUGUCGUUCCAUUCUUCGCUACCUGAGGUAGGACACAGAGGGAGGAGGGAAGCAACAUGCUCUAAAAUUGAAGAUAAAGGUUGACUGGAGAUAGAAUUUGCGUGUUGCUCUGCAAUGGCAUUCAGUAGUAGGGAACUGCUAAUUCUGAACUGUUUGGCCCAUUUCUGAGAACUUCCUGGCAGAACACAAAUCACUGGAUUUUUUGGAUAAUCAGUUCCUCCAUUCUCCAGAGUUUUAUUUUCAGUAACAUUUGAAGUGCGGCAUGUAGGAUCUAUCGGCCUAUGUAAUGGUAGCACCCAGUCACGGGGUCAUCAAUAACAGUUGCAGGGUCUUUCAUCUGCACCCGCUCGCUCCGUUCAAAUUGCCGCAUGUUGCGAUGACCGACGCGGCUGUCGUUGGCUACUGAAGGAAAUAUGCCCUAGAGGCAAUAAUAAAGUUAUUAUUUAUUUCCUUAUUUCAUGAUAAAUGUUUAUUAUUCGUGCUAGAAUUGUAUUGACCGGAAACUUAGUACAUGUGUGAAUACAUAGACAAACAGAGUGUCCCUAGUAUGCCUCUACUUGACUAGCUCGUUAAUCAAAGAUGGUUAAGUUUUCUAAGCAUAGACAUGUGUUGUCAUUUGAUGAACGGGAUCACAUCAUUAGAGAAUGAUGUGAUGGACAAGACCCAUUCGUUAGCUUAGCAUUAUGAUCGUUUCAGUUUCAUUGCUACUGCUUUCUUCAUGACUUAUACAUGUUCCUCAGACUAUGAGAUUAUGCAACUCCCGAAUACCGGAGGAACACCUAGUGUGCUAUCAAACGUCACAACGUAACUGGGUGAUUAUAAAGAUGCUCUACAGGUGUCUCCGAAGGUGUUUGUUAGGUUGGCAUAGAUCAAGAUUAGGAUUUGUCACUCCGUGUAUCAGAGAGGUAUCUCUGGGCCCUCUCGGUAAUGCACAUCACUAUAAGCCUUGCAAACAAUGUGACUAAUGAGUUAGUUGCGGGAUGAUGCAUUACGGAAUGAGUAAAGAGACUUGCCGGUAACGAGAUUGAACUAGGUAUGAUGAUACCGACGAUCGAAUCUCGGGCAAGUAACAUACCAAUGACAAAGGGAACAACGUAUGUUGUUAUGCGGUUUGACCGAUAAAGAUCUUCGUAGAAUAUGUAGGAGCCAAUAUGAGCAUCCAUGUUCCGCUAUUGGUUAUUGACCAGAGAAGUGUCUCGGUCAUGUCUACAUAGUUCUCGAACCCGUAGGGUCCGCACGCUUAACGUUCGAUGACGAUUUGUAUUAUGAGUUAUGUGAUUUGAUGUACCGAAGGUUGUUCGGAGUCCCGGAUGAGAUCACGGACAUGACGAGGAGUCUCGAAAUUGUCGAGAGGUAAAGAUUCAUAUAUUGGAAGGUUGCAUUCGGACAUCGGAAUGGUCCCGAGUGAUUCGGGCAUUUUUCCGGAGUACCGGGAGGUUACCGGAACCCUCCGGGGAAAGAUAUGGGUCUUAUGCGCCAUAGGAGGGAGGCUAACCAGCCCACAAGGGAGGAGGCCGAAUUGGACUUGGGAAGGGGGCGCCACCCCCCUUUCCUUCUCCUACUUCCUCUCCUUCCCCUUUUCCCCCUCCGGUAGAAGGAAAAAGGCGUGGGGCCGAUGAUGUCUACUACGCAACCUUCUCCUUGUAGACGUUGUUGGGCCUCCAAGUGCAGAGGUUUGUAGGACAGUAGCAAAUUUCUCUCAGGUGGAUGACCUAAGGUUUAUCAAUCCGUGGGAGGUGUAGGAUGAAGAUGCUCUCUCUCAAGCAACCCUGCAACCAAAUAACAAAGAGUCUCUUGUGUCCCCAACACCCCAAUACAAUGAUAAAUUGUAUAGGUGCACUAGUUCGACGAAGAGAUGGUGAUACAAGUGCAAUAUGGAUGAUAGAUAUGAGUAUUUGUAAUCUGAAAAUAUAAAAACGGCAAGGUAACAAGUGGUAAAAGUGAGCGUAAACGGUAUUGCAAUGCUAGGAAACAAGGCCUAAGGUUCAUACUUUCACUAGUGCAAGUUCUCUCAACAAUAAUAACAUAAUUGGAUCAUAUAACUAUCCCUCAACGUGCAACAAAGAGUCACUCCAAAGUCACUAAUAGCGGAGAACAAACGAAGAGAUUAUUGUAGGGUACGAAACCACCUCAAAGUUAUCCUUUCUGAUCGAUCUAUUCAAGAGUCCAUAGUAAAAUAACACGAAGCUAUUCUUUCCGUUCGAUCUAUCAUAGAGUUCGUACUAGAAUAACACCUUAAGAAACAAAUCAACCAAAACCCUAAUGUCACCUAGAUACUCCAAUGUCACCUCAAGUAUCCGCGGGUAUGAUUAUACGAUAUGUUGGGGAUCGUUGCAGAAAUUAAAAAAAUUAUACGCAUCACCAAGAUCAAUCUAUGAAGAGACAUCAUGGUAUGCACCACAUCCAAUAGGGUGCAGCUAUGAUGUUCGGACACACCAUCACAUUAUGGUGUUCCAGGCGGCAUUAGUUGUGAAACAAUUUCCACAAUGUCUUAAUUGUGUACCAAACACGUAACUCAGAUAUUCAUCUCUAUGAUCAUAUCAUAGACAUUUUAUCCUCUUGUCACGACGAUCUUCAACUUCACUCUGAAAUUACUUGAACCUUUCAAUAAUUCAGACUUGUGUUUCAUCAAGUAAAUAUACUUAGAAUCUACUCAAAUCAUCUGUGAAGUAAGAGCAUACGAUAUUCACUGCGUGCCUCAGCACUCAUUGGAUUGCACACAUCAAAUGUAUUACUUUCAACAAGUUGCUCUCUUGUUUCAUCUCACUGAAAACGAGGCCUUUCAGUCAUCUUGCCCAUGUGGUAUGAUUUGCAUGUCUCAAGUGAUUCAAAAUCAAGUGAGUCCAAACGAUCCAUCUGCAUGGAGUUUCUUCAUGCGUAUAAACCAAUAGACAUGGUUCGCAUGUCUCAAACUUUUCAAAAAACGAGUGAGUCCAAAGAUCCAUCAACAUGGAGCUUCUUCAUGCGUUUUAUACCAAUAUGACUCAAAUGGUAGUGCCACAAGUAUGUGGUACUAUCAUUACUAUCUUAUAUCUUUUGGCAUGAACAUGUGUAUCACUACGAUCGAGAUUCAAUAAACCAUUCAUUUUAGGUGCAAGACCAUUGAAGGUAUUAUUCAAAUAAACAGAGUAACCAUUAUUCUCCUUAAAUGAAACCGUAUUGCGAUAAACAUAAUCCAAUCAUGUCUAUGCUCAAUGCAAACACCAAAUAACAAUUAUUUAGGUUUAACACCAAUCUCGAUGGUAGAGGGAGCAUGCAUUGGUUGAUCACAUCAACCUUGGAAACACUUCCAACACAUAUCGUCAUCUCACCUUCAGCUAGUCUCCGUUUAUUCCGUAGCUUUUUGUUUCGAGUUACUAACACUUAGCAACCGAACCGGUAUUUUAAUACCCUGGUGCUAUUACGAGUACUACUAGUACACAUUAUAAUGUAUAUCCAAUAUACUUCUGUCGGCCUUGCCGGCCUUCUCAUCUACCAAGUAUCUAGGGUAGUUCUGCUUCAGUGACCGUUCCCCUUAUUUCAGAAGCACUUAGUCUCGGGUUUGGGUUCAACCUUGGGUUUCUUCACUAGAGCAGCAACUGAUUUGCUGUUUCAUGAAGUAUCCCUUUCUUGCCCUUGCCCUUCUUGAAACUAGUGGUUUACUAACCAUCAACAAUUGAUGCUCCUAUUUGAUUUCUAUUUUCGCGGUGUCGCGAAUAGCUCAAGGAUCAUCAUAUAUAUCCCUGAUAUGUUAUAGUUCAUCACGAAGAUCUAGUACCUUGGUGGCAGUGACUUUGGAGAACCAUCACUAUCUCAUCUGGAAGAUUAACUCCCAGUCGAUUCAAGCGAUUGUAGUACUCAUACAAUCUGAGCACAUGCUCAACGAUUGAGCUUUUCUCCUUAGUUUGCAGGCUUAAGAAACUUGUCAGAGGUCUCAUACCUCUUGACGUGGGAACUAGCCUGAAAUCCCAAUUUCAGUCCUUGGAACAUCUCAUAUGUUCUGCGAUGUUUCAAAAACGUCUUCGGUGCCUGAAUUCUAAACCAUUUAGCAUUACGCACUGAACUAUCAUGUAGUCAUCAAAACGUGUAUGUCAGAUGUUCGCAACAUCCACAACCGACGCUCGAGGUUCAGCACACUGAGCGGUGCAUUAAGGACAUAAUCCUUCCGCGCAGCAAUGAGGACAAUCCUCAGUUUACGGACCCAGUUCGCAUAAUUGCUACUGUCAACUCCCUACUAAAUUUUCUCUAGGAACAUAUCUAAAAUAGUAGAACCACUGCAGUGCGUACGUACUUUAGCUUAUGCCGACCUAGGCUUUGGCUAUUCGCUAGCUCGGCCACUGCUGGUAGCAUUAGCCAAUGAUGAAGCUAUGAAAUAAUGCAAACAAAAAAAACCAUCAGAUUGAUGACGCCGCUGCGGUGUGGCUACUGCACGGCGUUGCAAGCGGGCAUGGCAUUGUUGAAUCCCUUCCGUGUCGCCAUGGUCACAAACCCAAACCCUCGCGAUCGCCCACGCUUGUCGUACACGACUCUUGCGCGGGCCACCUUCCCGUGCUUGCUGAACAUGUCUCGCAGCCGGGAGCUAUCCACCUUCGGGGACAGAUCACCGACGUCGUUGCAGGUCGUUGGGGUUCCUCCCUGGCCUUGAGUCAUCCGCGCAGGAAAGACAGGUAUCUGGGGAUCGGGCAGGAACCACAGGCACCCCGUGUCGUGCCAUCCAGGCGGCAGGGUCUCCACCAGCGUGGUGGCGCCGUCCUUGAAGCUGUACAUAUACACGCUGCACGGCUCCGGAGGAUCAGAACGUCCGUCUUGGCCUGCCGUGUUGUCGAUGACAAAGUAGGCGGUGCCACCGCUCAGCUCCUCGCCGAACCACACGGCAUCCACAGGGAAGCUACCCGGGAAACCCAAGAAGAGGACAGCGUCGUGGAAGUCUGAUUCGUCAUCGCGCACCCACUCCACCACCCGCUCCUCCUCCCCCUCGCCGCCGUUCCGCAAACACAGUUGGUGCAGUGACACCGACAGGUCGGUGCCGCUGUCCGCUUGAAGAACACUGGCAAGGAGCAGGUCGCCUCCGGACUCAAAGAGGUAGCUGCACCGGCUUACCGGGCUCAUCCGGCAGGGCCCCUUGCACUUCGUUGGUGAUUACAUUGGUGUAGAGGCCUGGAUAGAUUUCAUCCCAGCGCGGCCAGAGGAUGUGGCAGGUAGCCAAGCCAACGCACACGAUGUAGCCAUAGUAAUACGCGGCCGCGCAGCAGCGGUCGGUGCCGAGAUUCGACGUCACACGCUGCCACUCACCGUGGCCCGGGCGCAGGAAGGACGCCCAGAAUCUACUGUGUGGAUUGUUACCUUGCUCUGGCCGGAAGUCGUAUAGAAGGACGGCGCCGUCGUCGGAGACGACGCGAUGCCUGUGAUCCAGCCACUUGCGGUCGAGACGCUCGCGGGGGAAAGGCAGGGGUCCGGCUGUGAGAGGGUUGACGAGGGAGAGGUCGGCGCUGAGCAGCCACGCCGCGGUGCCGUCGGUGCGGGCGACCCUCGUGUCCCGGACGCAGACGCCAGGCGCGAUGUAGCUGGCCUUGGAGAAGACGCAGCGGCACCGCUGGUCCUCCACGGAGACAGAGUCAUCGGCGGCCGACGGUGCGACGAGCCACGGCAGGAGGCCCCUUUUAUUUUCAAGUGUUGCACCAUGAUUUGCAGACGGCGUUGAAGCGGACGGCGUCGGACGCGGCGUGGAGACGGCCGGAGAUGUCCCGGAGCAGAUCGGCCGGGAGAUCCGCCCACUGGCCGGAGGGCGAUGUUGGUGAUGUCAUGGUGCGCGCGCAAUCGGUCGUCGAUCUUGUGACUCGAUCGAUUGGCUUCUCUCUCGUGAUCCUGUCGGGGCAGUAUAUAGAGGUUGACGCGUCGGUUAUAUGAGUGUGCGUGGAGCGCACCCGGCUCGGCUCCGACUCUUUCUCUGUGGCAUCCGGUCUGAGUUAAUCAACUUAUUCUGUUGUACGUACGAGCGUGCGUGGGUUUGUGUUUGUAACAGAUCGGCUUCUUGUAGAUCUCCGUAAUCUCUAUUUUUCCUUCUUUCUUUUCGAAAACAUCGAUUACAAGACAACAUAGACAUAAUACACACACUCACACCAAUAAACACGUACCCACACGACGCCUACCGAAGACCGGGUCAGAGUUGCGGAGCUUCAAGAUUGACGAAGUCACCAUGUUCACCUUGCUGUUGACAAGAACGUCACCUUCCACUCGCACUAAACACUACAGAAAAAAGCAAAAAGAAAUGUUGAUGUGCUAGACAUCAGGUGCCUAAAAUUGUUUCUUGGAUCACCCGAUCCCUCACGCGCCCUGUGCCCAAGCCUAAAACGGGGUGGCUGCGCAGCCACCCGACGAGGGCGAGCCAGGAGAUUACUGGAAACCGGGACAAUGUGAGAGGAAGAGGGUUGACGCUCGCCGGCGCAGGAGAAGGGUGAGGCUUAGAGGGAUGAUCGAGGUGACGGCGGCACAUCGGAGGAGGCAGCUCGGAGAGGGUGAUGUGGCGCGUGGCAGCGGCAGGUAGUUAAGCAGGGGCCAAAGAGCGGGUCCACUGGGAGGGAAAGAAGAUGAACAGUAGCCACGCGUUGGAGGAAGAUGAGUAGUAAGCCGUGAAAAUAUAUCAACUAUUCCAUAGAGCUAUUCCGAGCAACUGACGGAUAGAUGCACCCUUCCCUUUGUUCGAGGAUACAACAACAACAACAACAACAACAAAUCCUUUAGUCUCAAAUAAGUUGUUGGUAGACUAGAUGUGAAACUCAUAAGAUCUCGCGACCAACUCAUGGCUCUGGCACAUGGACAGCAAGCUUCCACGCACCCCUGUCCAUAGCUAGUUCUUUGGUGAUACUCCAAUACUUCAGGUCUCUCUUAACGGACUCCUCCCGUGUCAAAUCUGGUCUACCCCGACCUCUCUUGACAUUCUCCGCACGCUUUAGCUGUCUGCUAUGCAUUGGAGCUUCUGGAGGCCUGUGCUGAAUAUGCCCAAACCAUCUCGGACGAUGUUGGACAAGCUUCUCUUCAAUUGGUGCUACCCCAACUCUAUCUCUUAUAUCAUCCGGACUCGAUCCUUCCUCAUGUGGCCACACAUCCAUCUCAACAUACGCAUCUCCGCCACACCUAACUGUUGAACAUAUCGCCUUUUAGUCGGCCAACACUCAGCGUCAUACAACAUUGCAGGUCGAACGACCGUCCUAUAGAACUUGCCGAUCUGGCGAAUAAAAUUUCCUUGAGCCUCCCGAUCUCGAUGUGGGCGGCGAUGGCUCAUUGGCAUAGAGUACUUCCGUAGUGUUUGCAGAGUUUAUCGAUGUGGUGGUGGCGGCGGCUUUUCUUUGGUGUUUGGUCCCUUAGCCUCCUUUUCGUCAUGUUGGUACUGCCUCAUGUGCUGACGUGAGGCCGGGAACUUUUUUUUAGGCUAGGAUUUUGAAUUUGUGUAUCUUCCAACAAGGGUGAUCUCAAUUCUUUCGUCUCUCGGAUGCUGGUCCCAUAUACCUUGAUGACUUUUCGUCUGCAAUCAGUUCAGGACAAAAAAGGCAAUCAUACCUCAAGAGAUGUAUUUUUUAUCUCUAUUAUUAUAGGAGAGUUGGUUUCGCCGUCUCCCCUCUUUUACNNNNNNNNNNNNNNNNNNNNNNNNNNNNNNNNNNNNNNNNNNNNNNNNNNNNNNNNNNNNNNNNNNNNNNNNNNNNNNNNNNNNNNNNNNNNNNNNNNNNNNNNNNNNNNNNNNNNNNNNNNNNNNNNNNNNNNNNNNNNNNNNNNNNNNNNNNNNNNNNNNNNNNNNNNNNNNNNNNNNNNNNNNNNNNNNNNNNNNNNNNNNNNNNNNNNNNNNNNNNNNNNNNNNNNNNNNNNNNNNNNNNNNNNNNNNNNNNNNNNNNNNNNNNNNNNNNNNNNNNNNNNNNNNNNNNNNNNNNNNNNNNNNNNNNNNNNNNNNNNNNNNNNNNNNNNNNNNNNNNNNNNNNNNNNNNNNNNNNNNNNNNNNNNNNNNNNACCACGUCCUGCAUUAACGCAGUCGAAUCGAAUCAAAUCAAUAUUACCAAAAUCUCUACUAACUGAAACUUUCCUUGCCUUCUCUUACCCAUACUCAAAUCAAAUUAAAUGUCACUAAAAUCUAAAAUAUGGUGGAUGUAAGGUAUAUGUCGGACAAGAUUGAUGUUGAACCAGUAUAGAUCUGGGCUUCUUGCCAGGUUUACAAAAUGUGUGGGUUUAAUUGCCGGAUUGAUUUGAUCAAUAGAUAGAUCCGGUAAAAGGAAUGGGAGUAUCUAGAACUCAUCUAGAUGAGACGUAAUUUGGUCUCAUUCACCUGGAAAACAAGAAUGGAUACAACCCACGUCAACACACACGCAUCUUAUAACAUCACAUCCAGUGACUAUAAAAGAUGAAUGAGACCAAAUUAAAUCUCAUCUAGAUGAGUUCUAGCAAAACUGAAAAGAAAUAAUUGUGGCUGAGUCGUAACUACUCCUAGUAUAUUUAGAGUUUUACAUGUUUUAAAGUUGAGAUAAGAAUUACGACCAGAUCUGCUGCACGCCGACUAGUAUAAUAUAGUUCCCCUGUUAACACAAAUCUAUAUCUCUACCUGAUUCUCAACAAAAAGAAUUAAAAAAAUUCUAGUUUAUCUCUACCGACGCCGUCGAGGACUCUUGAAAUAGCGACCUAUAACCGUACGUAUAUAACACGCGCAUGCAUCUUGCGAUUUGCCGCACAUCCAACUCCGGCCAUCUCUACACAAGCUAGCGGCGGCCGUCUCCUUGGUCGACGUCCACGUACGCGCUCCAGUCAUACAUGUCGAUCUCCGCUGCCUUUUCCGCCCUGCGUGCCGCCGGCCGGCAGCAGCUCUCCGCUUCAAGCAUCGCCGCGCGGCAGGCGACCGGCUCCCACAUGUUCCGGGUCGACGGGCAAUGGCGCUAAGGUGAGAUCAGGCACGUUCCGCGUCGGCGGCCACGACUGGCGUCUCGUAUGCUACCCAAACGGCAACGGGAAGGAGUACGAGGGGUACAUGUCCCUCUCUCUUCCUCGAGCAUGCCAGCCACGAGAGGACCGGGGAUGCCACGGCAAAGGCCCAGCUGAGCAUACUCGACCAGGCAUGGAAGCCGAGCUACACUCGAGACAUAGCCAAGACACGCUUCUUCUCGAGUAACCUCAGUUGGGGCACGCGGGGCUUCUUGAAACACGAGGAUCUGGACGCCCUAACGAGGAAGCAUCUCAAGGACGACUGCCUGACUGUUCUGUGCGAUGUCACCGUCACCGUCACCGAGCUGUGCACCGAAGACCACGCCGAGACUGCCGCACCGGAGCCUACAGUGGUGGCGCCUCCCUUCGGAUUGCCCGGGCAACUCGGGGAAGCCGUCUGGAACACGAAGGGAGUGGACGUGCACAUCGAGGUCGGCGGGGAGACGCUCCCCGCGCACCGGCAGAUACUCGAGGCCGGGUCACCCGUCUUCAAGGCGGACCUCUCGCUCGCCUCGGCCACCGCCAGCGACAGCAGCGACACCGCCGUACUGCGCGUCGACGACAUGGACGCCGAGGUGUUCAAGGCCCUGCUCCAGUUCAUCUACACGGACUCACCUCCCGUGAUCCUGUCGGCGUCGAUGGCGGAGAGGCUGCUCGUCGCGGCGGACAGGUACAAGCUGGAAGAGUUGAAGCUCCUCUGCGAGGACGCAUUGUGCUGGCGCGUCGACAUGAGCUCCGUGGCUGUCGCUCUAGCGUUGGCGGAGAAGCAUAGUUGCUCCGCGCUGAGGGCGGCAUGCAUCCAGUUCCUCUCUUGUCCGGGGAACCUGGAAUCAUUCAUGGCAUCGGAUGGGUUUGAGAAGGUAAGGACGUAUUGUCCCUUCCGCUCUCAUGGAGCUUGUCCUCAAGAAGAUUACAAUAUAGGAGCAACUAGCAACUAAGGGUUAGGAAUCGUCUACCAGCUAGAUAUACGAAGUGAUGUCGAUUAGAUUGUCUCGGGUAGAGUAGAGGCUUGAUUCAAUGAGCUAUAGUCUGCGUGUCUCGUGCUGCAAACUCUAUUUUUUACACAGUAUAAACUCUGUUUUUUUCCCUAUUAUAAAUGAUUGUCAAUUCUUUCUCUUAUCGUUUCUUUUGGUUAAAUCUUCCAUCCAACAGAUUGUCUAGCUUCAAGAAGUCCAAGAGUAAAAUUCCAAGAAGUAGUGAUAGUUAUUUGGAGCAUAGGAGCACCCAAAAAAUCGCUAAUGAAAAAGGAAAAAGUCUGAAAGUGAAAAUCAAACAUGGUUGUAUUGGCAAAUUAAAGGAUCACAACACCCUACCCCGGCCCGAGAGAGGAACACGGCUAAUUGAGGGUCAGCCGCACAUGGGCUACGCACGAGAUUGUUUUUCCUCUUUUUGGGCCAAGUUUUCAUAUUUACCGAUUUCUAUUACCUGAAAUUUCAUUUUAGACAGUUUUAGAAAUUAUUGUACAAGCUUUCAAAAAAUCUUGGUUGAGCUUUCAAUAUUUAAAACUUUUAGGAUUUUCAAAACUUCACAAUGUUAAAAUUUUAUAACUUCAACUUUUGAAAAUUUAAACUUUGUGAUUUCAAAUAAUAAAGUUAGCUUUUAAAAAGGUAAAUAUUUUAACAUUCAAAAAUUCUAGAAACUUCACACGGAGAAAAACCACACCUACUCCCUCCGUCCGGAAAUACUUGUCAUUUUCAUCCAUUUCUAUGACAGGUAUUUCUGGAUAUUUUCAUCCAUUCUAUGAGAAGUAUUUCCGGACGGAGGGAGUCCUUCAUAGGAAAGGGAAGGCGGGAAGCACACACUUGCAUGGGCACCAUACCCAUCGGGUCCCAAUAGGUAGAGCGUUGCACUGUUACACGAGUGCAACGGGCACCUGCGAGGGAUUUAGUUCACCUAGAGUGUUUUAGUAAGAUAAAGAACUUUUUUGGUAACAUUGUACUAUGAUUCUUUGCGCUUGAAGACCAAACAACCAUGCCUUAUUAUUAACCUAAAAUUGGCACUAUCUCCUAAUCUUUCCAUUGACUUCCCUCGAGUGCAAAUGGUGUAAUUCAAGCCCUCCGUUCCAUAAUUCUUGUCAUGGUUUUAGUUCAAAUUAUAACUAAAACCAUGACAAGAAUUGUGGAACAGAGGGAGUAAGUAUGUGCUGCUGCUCUUGGCUGCGUCCCGUCUAGAGCUAUGUUCGUCUUCUCUCCAUGAUCUUGAGGAUAUUUUUGUUACCUUUUAAAAAAAGGGACAAGCUACGUGAAAGUUGAUUGAAUUUGUUUUUGGGCCAGUUGAGUGACCAAAAAAUUAUAUUAGUCGAUUUGCUUGCAGAUUCCUACUCGAUCGUUUCUAUUAGAGCACGUCACCCCGACCCGUUACUCCCACAUCAAUAGCUCCCAAGCUCCAUCUCUCUAUAACAACUUCUCAUGUUCUCAUGUGUCAUUAUUGCAUGCGCUGGUUUAGUGGAGUCAGCUUCGGUGGUAUUUAUUAGAUCAUGGUCGCAUCUACGUGUUCAUGGGUCAGUAUAUAUGUACACUUUGAUUGAUUGAAUACAAGUGUAGUUCUAGUCUCUUUCGUGUCCUUCCCUCUCAAAGUUUUCUAUAUAUCUACCACUUGCUCACUUCAUCACCCAGCUAUAACACAGGAUUUAGGACAUUGACAUUCAUGCAUAGGGCUCGUACUUGUUUCACGCAUAGAUCAGCAAGAGUUCGGUGAUUUUUAUGUCUACUUGAAUCACAGACCGGAUACAAUCCUUUGUAGGUGGGCUGCUUCAAUCAAGACAAGGAAAUUGACAGAACUAAAAAAUUAAAUAUUUCAGGUCCUUGAAAAUUAGAAAAAUAAUUAACAUAUAGAUUUUAUUUUAAGUUUGUAACACAAAACUAAGCACAAUACAAACCCGUUAAUACAAUCGAUCUUGGACUGAGACAACAACAAAGCACAGUACAAAUACGUUAAUCCGAUAACCAAAAGAAGAAAAAGGGUAUGUCGAAUGAAAUUCUAAUCCCUGCAAAAAAAAGAGAAUGAAAUUCUAAUACUACUUGUUACAAGUCCGAUUUUGCACCAUCCUGUGGACAAACAAACAUGCAACAAAAUGAAAAUCGACAUGCACUAAAUUUUGU
This 66010-nucleotide long non-coding RNA is filed under the name Triticum aestivum (bread wheat). RNAcentral describes it as "long non-coding RNA (TAES_LNC018439)". The stretch from base 50161 to 50365 matches the Rfam family "MIR408 microRNA precursor family". Lineage: Eukaryota; Viridiplantae; Streptophyta; Magnoliopsida; Poales; Poaceae. The record is from RNAcentral.